This 51353-nucleotide long non-coding RNA is filed under the name Vitis vinifera (wine grape). Its description in RNAcentral is "long non-coding RNA (VVIN_LNC006037)". The record is from RNAcentral. Lineage: Eukaryota; Viridiplantae; Streptophyta; Magnoliopsida; Vitales; Vitaceae.
GGAUUUAAGCAAGUUGGUCUACCUCCAAGCAAUUGUUAAAGAGACAUUGAGGUUAUAUCCCGCAUUUCCACUUUCAGGACCACGCCAAUUUAACCAAGAUUCCAUUUUAGGUGGUUACCGUAUCCCAAAAGGCACUCGUCUUGUGUUGAACCUCACUAAGAUCCAAAGAGACCCAAGUAUAUGGUUGAACCCAACAGAGUUUCAACCAGAAAGAUUCCUCACUACUCACAAAGACAUUGAUAUGAGGGUCAAAAAUUUUGAGUUUACACCAUUUGGUGGUGGAAGAAGAAUUUGCCCUGGUGCAACUUUUGCCCUUCAAGUGCUACACUUAACAUUAGCCAAUUUCUUGCACAAAUUUCAACUUUCGACUCCAUCAGAUGCAACAGUUGAUAUGAGCGAGAGCCUUGGGAUAACAAACAUCAAAUCCACUCCACUUGAAGUUCUCAUCUCGCCACGUUUGUCUUCUUGUGAUCUUUAUGAGUAAAACCAAUGAAUGUUGAGAGAGACUAUUUCAAGAAACCUAGUAUUAUAUAUAGGAAAUAAAAAUACAAAUAAAAUUUGUACAUGUGGUACAAGUUUAAAAUAAUAACUAAUGAGUACUAUACUUUUUUAAUUUUAUCUUAGCUUGAAUUUUGGUGUUUUUUUUUUCUCCUUGUAGAAGAAAAAGUGGCAUAUAGCAUUUUUCUUUCGGUAUAGAUAGUGAAAAAUAAGUAUGCACUUGACCAUAUGCAUACGUGUGCAAUAGACUUAAUGAGUUGCAAGUUGAUAAUUGAUCUGUCUUUUGGUAGAUUUUAGUUGCCUUCUUGUACAUCAUUAAAGUAGAAGAUAAAGACGAAAAUUAUAACUUCACCCAUUCAAUUAAAAAUCAAUUUAAUUGAAUUUAAAGAAGAAAAUGGUUGGUUCGGUUUGACUAACAAUAAUUGAUUCGUCGGUUUAUUUUGUUUCAAUUUGUUUUGGUUUGUUGUAACAAUAAAAAUCAUUUUUUUUGGUUAAUUUGGACUAAAAAAAAAAAACCAUGAUUAGAUAAAAACUAUAAAUGUGCAUAUGAAGUUGUAUCGAAUGUGAAAGCUUUUCAUCAAAUUAAUAAUAUAACCAAUACUCAUAUUAUUGAUGUAAAUAUAGAACUUCUAGAUAAGUUCAAUUUGUUUUACUAUUGAUUUUUUAAAUAGGUAACCGAAUUGGUCUAAUUCAAUUUUAUAUUUUAAAACCCAAUAUUAUUAAAAGAAAAAUUGCUAAAAAUUAGUGGAUUAGGGUUAGUUCAUUGAUUCUGUCUACACCCCAAAAAGAAGAGUGUCCACUUCGUAUUGUCAACUUUGUGUGCUUAUAAGUUACAAUUUUGCACCAUGAGAUUCACAUUUGUACUUAUUAUUGCUAAUUUUGUGUGGUCAUAAGUUAUAAUUUUACCCCACUAGAUUCACAUUUGCUAGCAUCAUAAUUGACUUUCUACAUCCAUGCAUUCAUGAAUCAUUACAUUUCAAUACUGUAUUACCAUUUUGGUGCUAAACAAGAAGACUCGUCUUUAAAGUACUCAAGCAAACCCUCACCAAUUUUAAUCAUUUUUCAAUUUAGAUGAAUGGGAGCAACAACACUAGAACAAUGAAGUAGAUGAUGAAAUAAAAUAAAAAACAAAGAUAGUAUACAAACUCUAAUUUUAUUGGUUUGUCAUAGUCUUGACUUAUAUGCACUCUCCUCAAACUUUAAAAUUCUGCUAACUUCUAAUCCUUCAAGCCAAUCUUAAACUCUUACAUUUUGAUUCUUGAUUCCAAAAGACCUUCUUACACUUGCCUCAAUAGAUUCUUUACUUUUGAAUACACUAGUCACAAGUUGUUAACAAUUGAACAAAAUUAAUCUUUCUAAAUCUUAAUUAGUACAAGUUUAAACUUGAGAAAAUACAAGAGGAAAUUAGGAUGUUUUGUCUUAGAUAAGAUUUAUAAGUUAAUCAAGAAUUUUACAUUGAGAACAAAGAGUUAAGAUCAAUUCAGUUAAGUGAGAUUGUAGGAUCUAAUUAGUUUGAGAUCUUAAGCGGUCCUGUUAUAAUCUUAUUAUUUUAUUCCAAAAUUGCCUAAGAGGGAAGUAGUAAUUUAGGACAACAAUUCCCUCCCAAAGUUUAUUGGUUUGAAACUAAUACUUUAUUAUACCAGCAUGUUUGAGUUGAAAACACAAAAAUUGAAGCUAAGGCAAGUACUUUACAAUUCGGAUUGGGUUGCAUCGAGCUUUGGUGGUAACUACUUGGGAGAUGGCUAAAGAAUGCUUGACCGCCAAUGACCAGGUUUCAUCCUCGCGUCCCGAACUUUUAGCCGCAAAACAUUUGGGCUACAACUACGCCAUGUUUGGUUUCUCUCCAUACGGUUCUUACUGGCGUGAAGUGCGCAAGAUAAUCAGCCUAGAGUUACUCUCUAACCGCUGCCUAGAGCUGCUGAAGGACGUCUGUGCUUCAGAAGUGGUGACAUCCAUAAAAGAGCUAUACAAGCUCUAGGCAGAGAAAAAAAAUGAAUCGGGCCUUGUCUCGGUGGAAAUGAAGUAGUGGUUUGGAGAUUUGACUCUGAACGUAAUUCUUAGGAUGGUGGCAGGGAAGCGUUAUUUCAGUGCUUCAGAUGCAAGUGAAAAUAAACAGGCGCAGAGGUGCUGGAGAGUGUUCAGGGAAUUUUUUCAUUUGGUAGGGCUCUUUGCGGUGGCGGACGCUAUUCCUUUUCUUGGAUGGCUCAACUGGGGGAGACAUGAGAAUACCCUAAAGAAGACAACAAUAGAAAUGGACAAUAUUGCUCAAGAAUGGUUAGAGGAGCACCGUUGGAAAUCAUGAUAAUAGUACGCAAGACUUCAUGGAUGUGAUGCUGUUAGUUCUUGAUGGCAAAAAUCUUGGUGAGUACGAAAGCCACAUGCUUGUGUGGACCCGCAUUUUUCACGUGCACCUCCACUCAAUCGGCGAGACUCGUUUUUUUUUGGUGAAGAUGUUGUUUUUGGAAAAGUCGGAGUCGCCACUUAUUUUAUUUUAUUUUAAAGGGAAAAUAAAACAAGAAAUAAAACCCUAAAAAAUGACUCCAUAGUUUUUUGGAAAAGCAUGUCUUUGAAAAACCCGAGUCUAGGUCCGGGGAUCAGGUUACUUAUUGGGAAGGUACCUCCAGGAGAUAGCACCUCUCUAAGCCCUACAAAGGUCCCUACUGACUAUGUUGAAGGAAAUGUGGCAAUCAACUGAUUAAUUGAGGGUACCUAGGUAGGCUAAGGUGAUCUCAAAACUAGCAUGCUAAACAAGAAAAACCAAUCACGCCCAUAAAGGAAAGUUAGGAUGCGUACCUGGACCACUUCUUAAGCGCUAUCAUAAAACAUCAAUGGUUAGUUUAGAUAAUAUAUCACUCAGUAUGUGUUUUAUCAUGAAUGAUCAAACAAUGUAGCAAAUAUCAAGACAUCCCAAGCAUUCUCAAACAUAGGUAUAAAUCAUAAUGACGAUCAUAUUUACAAAAUUUGGAAGGUAGGUGACAGGAGACGUACCUGGAUAGCAUAGAUAACUUGUAACGUGCUUUCACAAGACAUGAGAGGUUAGAUAACAAACAAUAAAAUAAGAAGUCCUAGCAUGUUUGUUAUCUAAUUAGCAUAGAAAAAAAAAAUUAUCAUAGUAUAUGAAACCAUCAAUUAUCACUUAUAUCUUCUGUAUAAUUUCUAAAAAAUAAAUAGACAUGAUUUCCUUAAAUAGCAAAGGGGGCAACAAAGAUGAGUUUUGAAAAUUUUCCUUAUGUAGGGGCUUCACCAAUUCCCCGAUUGAUAUACACAAAUCUAGUUUAGAAUUAUCCCAUUUGUUUGGGACCACAAGCUUGGAUUCAUGUCUUACUCAAAACUGUAAUUUUAUUUGAAAUUUAAGAAAGAUGCAAACAGAUCAAAACAUGGUUGCACAUUAUUUGAGAAAAUGAGAUUUCGAUUCUAAGAACUCUAAAUGAAUUUUUGAAAUGGAUUCCUAAAGGGAAUGAGAUUUUGAUUCUAAGAACUUUAAAUGAAUUUUUGAAAUGGAUUUUUAAAGGGAUUUUUUUUAGAAUAGUGUUAUGUUUUAAAAAUAAAAGAAAUUAAUUUCAAAACAAUAAAACGUAUGAAUCAAAUACCAAGCAAAACAAAAGAGAACAAAAUCACAAAGUAGAAUUUUUGACAACCAAGAAAAUUGAAGUGGUGAGAAUGGAAGCCAAUCUUCACUAUUUUUCGAUGGUCUCCAAAAAGUAAAUUUUACUAGAGACUACCAAAGCAAUAAACUAUUCAAACUUGGAUCAAAUAAGCUAACGAAAUACCCACCAAGAAUUAAUGACGAAAAUUCAAGAAACACAUCUACUAAGAAUAACAAUCAAGAAUUAGCAUGAGAUCAAUUAAACACACAAACGCAUCUAGAUUAACUAAAAUGAACCAAAUUAAAUCAAAGCAAACAAUAAUUUUCAAACAUAGAAUUAACUUUAUUAAUGAACUAAUAUUAUAUAAAAUACCUAAAUCGAAUAGAUGUGCAAAACUAAAUCAAAGUAAACUAAAGGCAUGAAUUCUCAAAAAUAGAAUUGAUUUUAUUAAUGACCUAAAAUUAUACAAACUCCUAAAAUAAUUAAAAUGAAUCAAUUUAAACGAAAGGAAACUAAAACAAAAUAUGAAUUCAGGGAAUCUAAUUUCGAAAUAAACUUACAUUAUUAAAAUGAAAUCUAGGCUUAAAAACUAUUAAACACUAAUUAAAGCCAAUCUAAACUUAAAUUCUUAACACACAUGAUCAAUUAUUUUAACAAACUAACAUUUUACCUUAACCACAAAUUAAAUUAAAAAACUACUUGAGACUAAAUUUCUAACCUAUAAAAUUAAACUCAUAAUCAAAUGGAUAAGUUGAUGACACAGACAAAUAAAUAUGAAUAAAAUAAAAUAUGAAUGAAAUGAAAUACGAACACAAGGAAUUAAAUAAUUUUUUCUUUUUUUUAAUAAACUUAUGUUAGUAAAAUAAAUUUGAGCUUAACAAACAUUUUUAUCACUAAUUAAGGCAAGUUUAAAAUAUAAUACUUAACACAUAAAAAAUCAAUCAUUUCAACAAACUAUAAUUUUAACUAAACUUAAAGUCAAUUCAAACAACCUUCAAUAGAUUUUUUUAUUUUUAUUUUAAACUGAAUUUUUAACCCAUAGAUUCAAUCUCAUUGAUAAAUAAAUAAAUAAAUAAGUUACAAAGCAUUAGCUUAGUAGCAAAUAAAUAAAUAAACAACUAAUAAUUAAAUGAAUCACAACUAAACUAAAUAAAGAUCAAACUAUAUUAUUUUUUUUAUUUUUCAAAAGUAGAAUUACAUGAAUUUGUAUUUUUUGAAUUUAAUAUAAUAUACCAAACUAAACUUAAACACAAUUCUCAUUCUGCCAUAUUAAAACAAAAAAUGCAUGGAGUUAGUAAAUAAAGUCAAAUGACACAAUAUAAUAAUAAUUCCACUAAAAAACCAAUCAAACUAAUUAAAAUUCUAAAAAAUAUCAACUAAAACAAGAUCAAUCAAAAUUAGCGUGUAUAUAUAUAUAUAUAUAUAUAUAUAUAUAUAUAUAUAUAUAUAUAUAUAUAUAUAUAUCUUUAUUUUUAGUUAUUUAUUUAUUAAAACACGAAUACAUCAACACGAAACGAAAUAAACUAACCAACUUACAUUCUAAAACUAAAAGGAUAAAUCAUGAAUUAAAAUUAACAACCUUUGGAUAUGAAAAGAGUGGCAUGGAAUCAAUUGAAAUAAUAAACUAAAAUUUAAUAACAUCUAAACUAAAAGAUAAAUUAAAACUAAAUUAAAUGAAAUUAUGAACUUCCUAAUUGAGAAAAAAAAUAAUAAUAGUAAUAAAUCUAAUCAAAAUUCUAAAUUUUAAACCAUCAUCAUGAAUUGCCCAAACUCUUAAAAAAUCCUAACCUUUCCAUUAUCAACAAAAAUUGCCUAAACCAAUAUUUAAAAAAUCUAAUUUGUCAAACUAAGAAUAAUAAAUUGUAACUACAUUAAACAAAAAUCAUAAUCUUCAAGCUAGAAUAAUGAAUCAAUAAUAAUUAAUUUAUUUAGAUAAGAAAAAUUAAAAAAAUAAAUUAAAGAUUAACAUCUAAGCUAAACAUGAAUUUACAAUAAAAAUUUAAAAUACAAAGAUUGAAUGGGAAUAAUUUUAAAACUAAUAAAUUGUCAUCAGGAAAUAUAUUGAUAUUAGAAAUAAUUAAACUAUAUAGAUAAAACUCUAAAACGAUUAUGCAUUGAAUUGAAUAUUUCUUGAAUCAAAAUUGAAAUAGGAAGGAUAAAUUCACAUUUUCCGAAACGUGUAGGUCACUUUCCACUAGUAGGAUUUCUAUUUUUUAUUUUAUUUUAAAAGAAUCAUUGCCAAGGAUGCAUGGUGUGGUGGCUGCCCAUGCACUGUAGCUGAAGACUUCUUCUUGGUGGUCUUUGAAACCUAGGAGCAUGGCUGAAUGUUUCCUUUCUUCCAAUAGUGCAACUGCUCCGGAAGUCCUCUCAACGGUGCGGCUGAUUCAGAAAUCGUCAUCUCAAUGGUGCGGCUGUUUCGGAAAUCUUCCUCUCAAUGGUGCGGCUACACCCUCUCACAUUCCAGAAAAUAAUCUUACUCCUCCCACCUGGAUCCCCUUUAGUGCGGCUGUUGAUCUCCUUCCCGUUUGGUGUCACCCUCUCUUCUGAUGCAUGCUGAAAGCGUCCCAAGAAUGGUGCAGCUGGUCGUUCUUGCUUCUCCAAAGGCGUCAGACCCUCUUAUGCGUGCUGAAAGCGUCCUAAGUAUGGUGCGGCUGGUCGUUCACCCCUCUCCAAAAAAAACUCUCCCCCCUCUCACUUUCUAACCUUCCUCUCCAGUACUCUGCCAACAUGGGAAGACAACUCACCAGCCCGGAGAGCCUCAAUCAUCCACGUCAGUCUAGCAUCAUCAGGACUCUCCUUCCUGAACAUAGUCUUCAUUCCGUCCAAAUACCCAUUGAACAUUUCCUUUUUCCAUGCCAAAAGAACUUUGGUAAUUUUCUUUCUUCAUUCAUUUCCUUCCAUUAGAAGCACAAUCAACACAUGCAUGGGUGCAUACUUGCUUUCCUUCUUAGUUCAUUUUCUUCCAUACGUCCUGUCCUCUUCCAACCACCUUGAAUCCAUCCUUUAACCCGCUGAAUAUUUCCUUUCCAUAAUCACACAUGAAAAUUCCUCUUUUUAAUUUUUUUUUUUGACUGAAUAUCCUCUAUUUCCUGAAAGACUCACACAUGAAUAUCCUUGCCAAUACACGUUUUCAACCUUCCUUUUUCUCUCCAGUGAUGAUUCCUUUGGUGAGUUUCUCUACAAAAAUAUAAAGAAAAUUAGACUUAAUGAAUGAAUCCCAAGGUGUUUUAGAAAAUUAUAAAAUAAAUUAACAAAAUAAUUAAGUAAAUAAUGAUAAUAAUAAUAAUAAUAAUAAUAAUAAUAAUAGUAAAGUGUCAUGCAAUCUAUGCAACCAUGCAAUCAUGUGAGCAACUCAAGUCAUGCAAAGAAUGUCUAAUGGGCCUCGGGUGUAUCUAAUGGACCUAAAGGGUCUAAGUGGACCAAUGAUGGUGCCUAAUGGGCCUAAGUGGGCCUAGGGUGGUGCCUAAUGGACCUAAAGGGUCUAAGUGGGCUUAGGGUGGUGCCCAAGUGUAUCUAAGUGAACCUAAAGUGCUUAAGUGGAUCUAAGUGAACCUAAAGUGUUUAAGUGGAUCUAAGUGAACCUAAAGUGCCUAAAUGGGCCUAAGUCUAAAUUAGGGCUACUAAGAGUCACAAUAGGGUUAAAUGAAUCCCUCUACCAAAGUCUCCGAGGUGGCUCAAAAAAGGUAAGUAGUAUGAGUAGCUAUGGGCCACUAAGGAACUACUGUGGAGCACUGGAAGUGAACUUAAAGACAUGUGCUAAAGGAACAAAAUUGAGGGUCUACAACCUGGUAUGAGUAUUAAUGGAACACCCACGUAACAUUGAUAAAGACAAAUUGCAAGGAUAAGGCAAUGAUCGAACAAAUAACCUAUGAUUAAACAAGAUCAUUCAAAAUCAAUUUUGUAUAUUUUUGUAACCGUUAUUUGAUGUGUUGACUUGAACAAUUCUGUAACUGUUGUAUAGUUGUAGGCAAAUUGAUGUACAUUGCCGCAAAUAGUUUUUCUUAGCUAUGCAUAUAAGUAAACUCUUAUUACAUCAAUAAAAGUGUGAAAAUUUUCAUUGAAAACAACAAUGUUAUUUCUUCUAUACUAUUUAUAUUUGCAUAGGGCUAGCUUCUUUUCCAUAGUUUUUCUUUUGUUUAUAUGUUUUAAUUGAUGCAUAUUCACUUUCUUAUUCUCUUAAUUAAAUUGCAAUAAUUAAAACUCUAAUUUAAAUAAAUUUUAAAAUUUAUUUUUAACUAAAAACAACAAUAUACAUAUACAAAUAUAUACUGCUUAAGUAAUUAAUUUUUUUAAAAAAUAUCCUUUGAGAACAUCUCAGACAAACUAAGACAUGCUUCUAGGGAAAUCUAAAUAUAAUGUUUUUAAAAGCUACCUUGUAAUUUUAUUUUCGAGCAUGUUGCAUUAUAUAUACUUUCCUUGAAUUGAUUUUCCAAAUUUUAUUUUUGUCAACAAUAAGGGUUAUCUACGUUUUGGAAGAUAUCUUUAAUUUCCCCUCCAAAGAAUAAGUGAUCUUGAAACUUAUAAGUUAAUUAUGUUCACUUGAUCGAAUAAGAGAUUUGAACAAUCUUGUAAAAAGAUGUUAAGCAGAUGGUUGAUUUCGAAAUUAUCCUUUAAACUAUAAAGGGAAAUAGAAAAAAAUACUAUUAUUUUGGUACAAGACCAUAUUGUUUAGUAGUGUCUCUAGGGAGUUCCAUUAGAUGCUAUCAAACAAUUAAUUUGGUGUCUCACUAACGUAAUUUUGAGUUGUUGAAUUUUGGGUUUUGCAAACUCUAAUUGCUGGAGGUAGUGACACAACUGUUGUCUCUCUAACCUGGGUAUUCUCUCUUUUACUCAACAACCGCGACACCUAAAAAAAAGCUAAAAAAAAAAAAUAUUCAAGUUGGCAAGGAAAGAUUAGUGAAUGAACAAGAUAUAAGUAAGUUGGUCUAUCUUCAAGCCAUUCUUAAAGAAAUUGAGAAAAUAAAGGCUAAUCUUAAAAGAUAAAAACACCCAAGAGGGGGGUGAAUUGAGUUUUUAAAAAUUAUUUUUAAACACAACAAAUUUAAGCAUAAGAGAAUCAAAUAUAAAAAGAUAAGGUUAGAGAAAUCAAACUCAGAUUUUAUAAUGGUUCAACACUUCCUUACCUACAUCCACUCUCCUCAAGCUCUUAACCGAGUGAGGGUUCCACUAACAUGAAGUUUCAACCAAACUUCUAAUUACAUUUACACUUAGAUUCCGGCUCCAAUGGGCUCUUACACAAUCUCUUCAAGUUUCAACUCACUUAAAGACUUUAACACUAAGUUAACAAGUAUGAAUCUCUCAACUUAGCUCAACAAUGACUCAAAUACAACCCAAAGCUAGGAUGAAUCACAAAGGUGCACUAAAGGAUAUGUAAAUGGAGAUUUAAUGCACCAAGAAAAGAAAUGAGAGCUUUUAAGGCAAGAACAAAUAGGUAAGCAAAUAAAUGCAUGUGUUCUCUUACUCAUAAAUGAAGUGGAACUCUUUAUUUAUAGGUUUUUAACAUUAUAAGCCAAAAAACCAAAAAAACAGUCUCAAUCGGUUGAGCUGAGGGUCAAUCGGUUCACUAGCCAUUGCAGCAUUUAAUGCUUGUCAGGUGACAGUUACCCUCGACCGGGAAGACAAAUCCCUCGACUGGGAAGGAAAGGCUACUGAAAAAGAGAGAGUCUUUUUUGCACCUCUCGGUCGGACCUCAACAGGAAAGGGGGAGCCGGUCGACCGGUACCCUAGUCAAUUGAGCCUGUUUGGACAUAGCCUUGAUCGGUUCACAAUUUUUUACCCGAAAACCUAUCUUUUUCUAGUAUUUUUGCUUCAAACACAUAGGUAAGGUCUUCAGAUAAAAUAUAUGCCAAUUUUGAAACGUUUAGCUUAAGGUUCAUUUGAUAGAUCUCGGAUUUUGGUGAAAAUGUAACUUUAAAGCAUAAAUCGAGUUUUUCAAAGAUGCAUGAAAUAAUAUGUAAAUCCUAAGUGUAUCAAUGCAUUCAUCUUACAUAUGUUUCCUAUCAUUAAAGGUCUUUCCAAAAGUCUUGAUCUUGCAUCCAUUAGGUCAUUUGAUGAAUUUCCAAAUUAACACCUGAAAUUUUUUAUAAUUUAAACCAAUUAGUAACUUAACUAUGAUUUGUUAUCAUCAAAACAUGAUUAGGAGAACCCUUGGGCUAACAGAGACAUUACGGUUAUAUCCACCAAGACCACUUGGAGGACUAUGCCAAUUUAUUGAGGAUUGCACCUUGGGUGGAUACCAUGUCUUUAAAGACACUUGUUUAAUAAUGAACCUUUCGAAGAUCCAAAAUAUCCAAGAAUCUAGUUAGAUUCGAUAGAAUUCUAACCAGAGAGGUUUCUCAUCAACCAUAAGAAUGUUGAUCCUUAGGGAAAACAUUUUGAAUUUAUACCAUUUGGAGCUGGUCAAAGAGCAUGUCUAGGAAUAGCUUUUGGUCUUCAAAUAUUAUAUUUAGCAUUAGCUAGUUUCUUACAUGCAUUUGACUUUUCAACUCCAUCAAAUGAACAUGUUGAUAUGCGAGAGAGCUUUGGACUUACAAAUAUGAAAUCUAUCCCACUCGAAGUUUUCAUUUCUCAAAUCUACCCCACUUGAAAUCCUCAUUUCUCUACACUUAUCUUCUUGUAGUCUUUACAACUAAAACAUUGAAAUGAAGAGGUCAAAGUUGACCCAGCUAGUCUUGGUUUAAAGACAUAUAGAGUUAGGUUCAAUCAAUCUAUGAUAAGAUUUGAGAUUUGUAUUAAAAGUAGGUUGGACUAAGAAUGAUGUACAAUAAACUAAAGUACUAUCCAUGCAAAUAAAGUAUAACAUUAUAUAUUAUUUGGUUAGCAUUCUGAAAUGUAACAUCAUAAUUAUUUCUUUGUUUUGUCUAAUUUAUCGCCAUUUCACCCCCUCAUCUUCAUCAAAACAAAUAAUAUAUAGUCUUUCUAUUUUUAAAAAUCAAAUUCGAUUCCCAAUUAUAUAAGAAUUUUACUAUUACUUUAUAAUAAACUUUACUUUAGUCUUAAUAACUUUGACUUGUAAAUAUGUUCUCCAUCCUUAAUUAAAUAUACAGAUAAUUUCAUUCAUUUUUUCUAAGAUUGGAGUUAAAUUUACCCAUCCAUACUUAACUUGAAAUUUUCUUAAAUAUCUGUUUUUUUUUCAUUUUUUUUACACGUAUAUCUUUUAAUUUAAAAUAAAAAAUAUUUAAUAAAAUUUCAAAAUAAUAGUUGUCAGACAUAUUUAUGUGACAUUUUCGAAGAGGUGAAUGAAACUAAACUUUUCUUUAAAUAUAAAAUCAUAAAAAUUUAAUAUAUGCAAGCAUGAUCCGGUCUAAAUAUGAUAUAUAAUUUGUGUCAUUUCAAAAAAUCACAGAAGAUCCUUUUGGCAAAGUGGCCCCCCAUUUGAGUUGUAUUCCGUAAUUGGUCACCACAUGUUAUAUCAUUUCAAAGAUUAUGGAGGAUCAUGUUGCCAAUCAUUAUCAGAAGAAGUACAGCUUCCUCUAUAAAACUAAUCAAUACGAUAUUUAGCACAUGCAAACAAAUUUGGAAGGAUCUGAAAGUCAAGUCUACGGGCCACCCCUUUACGACUUGUUCGAAAAAGCACAAAUCAAUGGUGGUGCCACUUGCCAGCAGUCUGUUUCAAUAUCUAAAUGUUACCUCGGUAAGAUUGCUUGACAUACUUUUUGUCUCCUACUAUCUCAUGGAGAUCCAGAGUUGGUAAGAUAAGAAUAGCAUCCGAAGCUGCUGGUGCAUGGCCAAUAAUCGGUCACCUCCUCUUAGGUGGGUCACAACUUCCUGGGAUUUUUUAUAAAAUUACGGUAGAUUUAAAAUUAAUUUUUUUAAAAUGCAGCAUAUUAAUGCUUGACAGCUGACAGUUACCCUCGAUCGGAAAGACAAAUCCCUCGACUGGGAAGGAAAGGCUACUGAAAAAGAGAGAGUGUUUUUUGCACCUCUCGGUCGGACAUCAACAGGGAAGGGGGAACCGGUCGAUCGGUACCCUAGUCAGUUGAGCCUGUUUGGACAGAACCUUGACCGGUUCACAAUUUUUUACCCGAAAACCUUUUUUUUUUUUGGUCUUUUUGCUUCAAACACUUAGACAAUGUCUUCAGAUAAAAUUAUAUACCAAUUUUGAAACGUUUUGCCUAAGGUUCAUUUCAUAGAUCUCGGAUUUUGAUGAAAAUGUAACUUUAAAGCAUAAAUCGAGUUUUUCAAAGAUGCAUGAAAUAAUAUGUAAAUCCUAAGUGCAUCAAUGCAUUUAUCUUACAUAUGUUUCCUAUCAUUAAAGGUCUUUCCAAAAGUCUUGAUCUUGCAUCCAUUAGGUCAUUUGAUGAAUUUCCAAAUUAACACCUGAAAUUUUUUAUAAUUUAAACCAAUUAGUAACUUAACUAUGGUUUGUUAUCAUCAAAACAUGAUUAGGAGAACCCUUGGGCUAACAGAGACAUUACGGUUAUAUCCACCAGGACCACUUGGAGGACUAUGCCAAUUUAUUGAGGAUUGCACCUUGGGUGGAUACCAUGUCUCUAAAGGCACCCGUUUAAUAAUGAACCUUUCGAAGAUCCAAAAGGAUCCAAGAAUCUAGUUAGAUUCGAUAGAAUUCCAACCAGAGAGGUUUCUCAUCAACCAUAAGAAUGUUGAUCCUUAGGGAAAACAUUUUGAAUUUAUACCAUUUGGAGCUGGUCAAAGAGCAUGUCCAGGAAUAGCUUUUGCUCUUCAAAUAUUAUAUUUAACAUUAGCUAGUUUCUUACAUGCAUUUGACUUUUCAACUCCAUCAAAUGAACAGGUUGAUAUGCGAGAGAGCCUUGAACUUAUAAAUAUGAAAUCUAUCCCACUUGAAGUUUUCAUUUCUCAAAUCUACCCCACUUGAAAUCCUCAUUUCUCUACACUUAUCUUCUUGUAGUCUUUACAACUAAAGCAUUGAAAUGAAGAGGUCAAAGUUGACCUAGCUAAUCUUGGUUUAAAGACAUAUGGAGUUAGGUUCAAUCAAUCUAUAAUAAGAUUUGGGAUUUGUAUUAAAAGUAGGUUGGACUAAGAAUGAUGUACAAUAAACUAAAGUACUAUCCAUGCAAAUAAAGUAUAACAUUAUAUAUUAUUUGGUUAGCCUUUUGGAAUGUAACAUCAUAAUUAUUUCUUUGUUUUGUCUAAUUUAUCGCCAUUUUUUCCCUUUCUCUUAUUCCCUCAUCUUCAUCAAAACAAAUAAUAUGUAGUUUUUCUAUUUUUAAAAAUCAAAUUCGAUUCCCAAUUAUAUAAGAAUUUUACUAUUACUUUAUAAUAAACUUUACUUUAGUCUUAAUAACUUUGACCUGUAAAUAUGUUCUCCAUCCUUAAUUAAAUAUACGGAUAAUUUCAUUCAUUUUUUCUAAGAUUGAAGUUAAAUUUACCCAUCCAUACUUAACUUGAAAUUUUCUUAAAUAUCUAUUUUUUUUCCUUUUUUUUACACAUAUAUCUUUUAAUUUAAAAUAAAAAAUAUUUAAUAAAAUUUCAAAAUAAUAGUUGUCAGAUAUAUUUAUGUGAAAUUUUCGAUGAGGUGGAUGAAACUAAACUUUUCUUUAAAUAUAAAAUCAUAAAAAUUUAAUAUAUGCAAGCAUGAUCCGGUCUAAAUAUGAUAUAUAAUUUGUGUCAUUUCAAAAAAUCAUAGAAGAUCCUUUUGGCAAAGUGGCCCCACCUUUGAGUUGUAUUCUGUAAUUGGUCACCACAUAUUAUAUAAUUUCAACGAUUAUGGAGGAUCAUGUUGCCAAUCAUUAUCAGAAGAAGUGCAGCUUCCUCUAUAAAACUAAUCAUAUUUAGCACACGCAAACAAAUUUGGAAGGAUCUGAAAGUCAAGUCUACGGGCCACCCCUUUACGGCUUGUUCGAAAAAGCACAAAUCGAUGGUGGUGCCACUUGCCAGCAGUCUGUUUCAAUAUCUAAAUGUUACCUCGGUGAGACUGCUUGACAUACUUUUUGUCUCCUACUAUCUCAUGGAGAUCCAGAGCUGGUAAGAUAAGAAUAGCAUCCGAAGCUGCUGGUGCAUGGCCAAUAACCGGUCACCUCCUCUUAGGUGGGUCACAACUUCCUGGGAUUUUUUAUAAAAUUACGGUAGAUUUAAAUUUAAUUUUUUUAAAAUGCAGCAUAUUAAAAAAUAUCUUUGAAUAAUAAUAAUAAAAUGACAAAUAAUAAAAAGGAAAGAAAGUUGUCUUGUGGCUAUAAGAAAGAAUAAUAUAAAAGAGAGAGAAGAGGAGAGGCGGAUAGAGAGAAGAGUAGCAGGAAAAAAAAAAAAGAGAACAGGGAGGUGCAUGCUGCAAAUCUUUGGGUGUUCGUAUGACGAGCAAAACGAGUUAUGUUUUGCGUGAAAAUUAAGGUGAAAAUUUUCUUUGACAUGAGGAACAUUCUUUCAAAGUUUGAUUUUAAUUUCAAUGAUUGGAUUUUUUGAUUUGUGGUGAGGUAGUUUAAUCCUAUAACUUUUGUUUAAUAUUUUUUCUUAAAAAAAUAUUAUGGAUUUUAUUACUGGGAGAUAAAUAUGUGUUAUUUGUGUUUUCUUUAUGUUAUUUGAAAUAUGAUUAUUGUUAGGGUGGAUUAUUAUGAUUUUUUUUUUUUUUUAUGUUUGCAAUGAUUUAAUUGAAGAAAAAUUAUUGUGUUGAUUGUUGGAAAUUAUUCAAUAUAUUAAGAAUAAAUAAAAUUUAUAUGAUUAUGGUUUAGACUAUGUUUUGAUGAUAUAUAAAUUAUUGUGAUUUUUUUUGUGGUUAUUUAAUUGAAGAAAAAUUGUUGUGAUGUAAUUGGAAUUAUUGAUUAUGUUUGGAGUAAAUAAAAAUUAUGUCCUAUAAAAUUAUGGAUGAUAACAUGUAAGUUUAUUAUAUUUCAUAUAUGGUUAUAUGAAAAAAAAUGAUGAAAGAUUUUAUGAAAUGGAAAAAGGAAAAAAAAAGAAAAAAAAAAUGAUGAUGAAAAGUAAAAGCCCGUAAAAGACGAAUUAAGAAAGAAAUGAGAUUUCUAGUAUGAAAACUACAAAAAUUUAUCUUAUGAAAACUCUAAAUGGGGAGUGUAUUUGGUACAGAUGCAUAUCAUUAAGUGAAAACCCAAAAACAAUAGUUUGUUACUUUACUGAAUGUAAACAUUUGCAUCAUGUUUUUAUUUGGAAGAAUGACAUGUAUUAAUUACUUGAAUGACGUCAAUGGUAUGUUUGGAUAUAUUAUUAGAGAUUGAAAUGAUUUAUUUAUUUUGUAAAUUUAGAAUUGUUUGAUAUGUUAUUUAUAUAAUUGAAUAAGAAAUGUGAUAAUUUUGAUUAGUUUAAUUUUAUAUGGUUGAUUUUUUAUUUAAUGACUAUAAUGCAUUGUUUUGAAAAUUGGAUCGGACCAACCGGUUCAAUCGCCAACUGGUGAUCUUUCCGGUUCCAUCCUCUCCUUUAAACCGCUAGAUGGUUGAACCGACCACAAACCACUAUUGGCAGUUGGACCGAUGAACCGCUUGGACCAGGUGGUUUUUCAUGAACUGCAUGGCUCAAUUCCAGCCCAGUCUUCCCCCCAUUUUUUCUUUCAUCCAAAUAGUCCAACCUUCCCCUCCUCUUUUUCAUAGGGUCCAAGUGAAAGCCCAAUAAGCCCAGCCUUACAUCUUAAUGGUCUUUAGGCAAAACCUAAACCCAUUUAAACCCCUCAAUGGGUUGUACCUUUGAACCCAUUAGUUACACAAAUAGCUUGAAUGAACUGUGUUUUACGCGCAUAUUCACAUCCACAUCCAUGUGGGAUUGCUGCUAUUUUAAGUCUAAAGAAAAAGCAACGCCACUUAGCUACAACACAAUUUGAUGCAAGUCUAGAAAAUAAAAAAAUCAGCAUGUGUUUCAAAAAAGAUUAAUAAUAUUAAAUAAAAUAAUAUAAUAUUUUCUGAAAUUAUAAAAUUAGUUAAAGUUAAAUAAUUAAAUUUUUACAUAUUCCAUUUAAUAAAGUUCAAAAUAUUAAUAUAUUUAUAUUUAUAUUUUGAUAAUAUCAAAGAUAAAAAAUAAAUAUUUUUAAUUUUUUAAUUUAUAUAAUAUUAUAUUUUGACAUAUAAUUGUUUUCUAUUGACUUAAAUUUUUUAAUUCAUUUGGGUGUAAAACACCUUACAAAACAAUGUGAAAAUGUUCACCCCUUUAUUUUUAUAAAAUUUUUAGAUACAAAUAUAGUUUAUAAGGAACCAUAAGAAAAUCAAGAAGUGUUCCAAAAAGCCUUAACAAAUAAAAGAAAAAUAAUAAUAAUAAUUUUUAAUUUAUAUUACCUUUUUGACAUGUACUAAUUUGAGUUAUAUGAAUUUUUGUAACUUAAAUUAUAUUUUGUUAUUUUGUAAAAUAUUUUUGGAAAUAUUUUUUACUUAGAUUUAUGUAGAUAUUUGGGUUAAUUUGGGAUUAAAUAUUGAUCUAUUCACUGUCAAAUUGGAUAGGAAUAAACUUUAAGGUCAACCCUUUGACCUGAUAUCACUAGUCGGAUUCUGAGUUGCCUUGGGUGUGACUAUAAUGGAUUUUCUUCUCCAAUGCCUAAACCCUGUCAUGGUUGGAGCGUUUGCAAUACUCGUCCUCUCAUACCACCUGUUAUUAUGGAGGUCUGGAGCUGGUAAGAGCAGAAUGGCACCUGAAGCUUCUGGUGCAUGGCCCAUAAUAGGCCACCUGCACCUGUUAGGUGGAUCUAAGAAUUUGCCUCACUUACUUUUUGGAACCAUGGCCGACAAGUAUGGACCAGUAUUCAGCAUCCGGCUGGGAUUAAAAAGAGCUGUGGUUGUGAGUAGUUGGGAAAUGGCCAAAGAAUGCUUCACCACCCAUGACCUGGCUCUGGCCUCCCGUCCUGAGCUUGUGGCCGCCAAAUAUUUGGGAUAUAACUAUGCCAUGUUUGGUUUAUCUCCUCACGGUGCAUACUGGCGUGAAGUGCGUAAGAUAGCCACUCUAGAGCUACUCUCGAACCGCCGGCUAGAGUUGCUGAAGAAUGUCCGAAUCUCAGAGGUGGAGACAUGCAUGAAGGAACUAUACGAGCUUUGGGCAAAGAAGAAAAGCGAAGCAGGCGUUGUUUUGGUGGACAUGAAGCAAUGGUUUGGGCACUUGUCUCUGAACGUGAUUCUUAAGAUGGUUGUUGGAAAACGAUAUUUCGGUUAUGCAGCCGAAAGUAAAGAGAAAGAGGCCCAGCAGUUCCAGAAGGCGAUUAGGGAAUUCUUUCGUUUGAUGGGACUCUUUGUGGUGUCGGAUGCCAUUCCUUUUCUUGGAUGGCUUGACGUGGGUGGACAUGUGAAAGCCAUGAAGAAGACUGCAAAAGAAUUGGACGGUAUUACUCAGGAAUGGUUAGAGGAACACCGACGGCGAAAAGAUUCGGGUGAAGCUGAUGGUGACCAGGACUUCAUGGACGUGAUGCUGUCCAUUCUGGGUGGUAGAGACACUACUGAUUAUGAUGCUGAUACCAUCAACAAAGCUACAUCCCUGGUAUGCACAUUAUUCCUUUAGCAUCUUUAUAUGGUAGUAAAAAAUGAGACAUAAUUUCAUGCUUUAUCAUCUUUAGUCCAGACUCAAGAGUACUUGGGCCUGGGUUGGAAGAACUUCUUAUUUUUGCUUAGUUUCAAGUUGAAACUAAUCAAAAGCAGCGAUUUUUAAAAGGUAAUUAUAAUAGUGGUGUUAUUAAAGGUCAAACAUAAAUAACUUUUUGCAUAAAUCAAAAUAGAGUUUAUAUAUAUAUAUAUAUAUAAAAUAUUUUUCUGAUCUUCAUAUUAAUUUUUCUAAGUCAUAACUUUUUUGAACAAAAUUAGUCAAACCAUAGAACUCUUGAACUUACAGAAAAGGGCUUUCGAUUUCUUAGAAAUAGAUACAUGAAGAGUUUUGUUAUAUGUUUGUUUUUGUCAAAAGAGUAACAUGAGCAGCUUAGACAAGCAAUUAGAAUGAAAUACAACUGGGCUGAGAAGCUGAGUAGAACUAGAAUUAUGUACAACCUCUUGCUAGGAUAAUUGGGUUGGACUUGUAAUGAUAGAGUUCUCCGUUGGAGUUAGGUGGCCCAAAAAGAUUGUGCUGUUUGAAUAGCUGGUCCUCUAAUUUAGGAAGAGGCAGCCGAAUUUGCAACGCUGGGUGGCUGGGCCCAUAGAAAAUAUUCUUGUCAGAAGAUUGUGAAAGUAUGUUCCUUAGUCCGCAAGGUUUGAGGCCUCUUUGAGUGGGCUUCUAGAGUCGGUUAGACAAUUGGGCCUUUCAAAGGAUUUCCUAAAUUUACAAUUUUUUUAGCCCAACAUGAAUUUUUAUAAAAUGCUAUAUUUAUACGUGAGUUUCAUAUUCAAGCUAAACAUACCCAUUUUGAUUGGAAAAAAAGGGAAAGAACAUGGGGCCUUUUUUCCACCCUUAAUCUUAUCACUACUUUUAAUUUUAUUUUAUUAGUUAAUGGUUUGUAUUUCACAGGUUAUGAUUGGAGGAGGCGCUGACACUACAUCUGGUACUUUAACAUGGGCAGUCUCACUUUUAUUGAACAAUCCACACAUAUUAAGAAAAGCUCAAGAAGAAUUGGAUGCUCAUGUUGGUAAAGAAAGACUAGUAAAUGAAAUGGAUAUAAGCAAGUUGGUUUACCUUCAAGCAAUUGUUAAAGAGACAUUGAGGUUAAAUCCAAUAGCCCCACUUUCAGGACCGCGUCAAUUCAUCCAAGAUUCUAUUUUAGGUGGUUACCAUAUCUCAAAAGGCACUCGUCUUAUAUUGAACCUUACCAAGAUUCAAAGAGACCCGAGAGUAUGGUUGAACCCAAUGGAGUUCCAACCAGAUAGAUUCCUCACCACCCACAAAGAUGUUGAUGUUAGAGGUAAACAUUUUGAGUUGACACCAUUUGGUGGUGGAAGAAGAAUUUGCCCUGGAAUAGUUUUUGCCCUUCAAGUGCUACACUUAACAUUAGCCAACUUCCUGCAUAGAUUUCAACUUUCAACUCCAUCAGAUGCACCGGUUGAUAUGAGCGAGGGUUUUGGAUUAACAAACAUCAAAUCCACUCCACUUGAAGUUCUUAUCUCCCCACGCUUAGCUUCUUAUGAUCUUUAUGAGUAGAAUUUGAGGUCGCUAAGAGACUUAUUUCAAAAAACCUAGUACUAUGAAAUGUGAAAUAAAAAUAAAUUUCAUAGCAUAAGUUUAGUAUUAUUUUAAAAUAGUUACUAAUGUCUGUCCUUUAAUAUUGUCUUAGCUUGAAUUUAAUGAAAAAUAUUUUCGACACUUAUUUUGUGUGGACAAGUAAUGACCCAAUUUCUUGUUAUGUUUCUUCAUUCUUCCAUGAAAGAGAAUUUAGAAGAAAAAGUGGCAUAUAGCAUUACAAUUGAAAAAUUAAUAAGCAUGUACUCCAUAUGCAUAGUAGACUUAAUGAGUUUCCAAGUUGAUUAAUUGGUAUCUCCUUUUGAUAGAUUUCAGCCACCUUUUUGUACAUGAUUAAAGUAGUAAUGGAGACUAAAAUUACAACUCCCAUUUCAUUGUAAAAAGUUGGGAUGUGCAAGGUGGGUCAGUUCAAUUUUGGGCAUUAAAAUCAAAUCGAAUUGAACCCAAAAGAGGAAAAUGAUUAGUUUGACUUGAUUAACAAUAAUCUAAGUUGGUUUAUUUUGCUUCUAUUUAUAACAUCAAUUUUUUUUUUUAAUUUGAACGAAAAUAAUAUUAUUGAAGCAAGUCAUCUUUGGACGGUUGAAAUGAUAUUAUUACAACUAAUUUCAAAUCAUAUUAUUAUAACUUAAUGAUGUGAAUAGGUAUUAUUGUAACCCAUGUCAAUCAUAUCAAAUAGUCCAAGUCAUAGAUAAAAGUUAUAAAGGUGUGAUUGGGAGUUCCAUCCAAUGUGAAAAAUGUAUACCCAAUUAAUGAUGUAACCAAUUGUUAUACUGUAUAUUAUUACUGUGUGUAUAACUUUCAAUUCAAUUCAGUUUGGUUCAUUAAUUUUUUUAAUAGGUAAUUGAAUUGGUAUAACUUGGUUUUAUAUUUAAAAAACCAAAUUUAUUAAAAAAUAAAAUCUUAAAAAAUUAAUAGAUUUGGGUCAAUUUCAUUGAUUUUGCCAAUUGUACACCCUAAAAGAAGGGAUGUCCACUUAUCAUCCAUAAACUUUGUGUACUCCUAAGUUACAAUUUUGCCCCAUGUGAUUCACAUUUGUACUUAUUAUACUCAAUUUUCCGUACAAAUGAUUUAUUAUUUUGCAGAAUUUUACUCCAUGAGAUUCACAUUUGUACUUAUUAUUACCAACUUUGUCUGCUCUUAAGUUACAAUUUCUCCUAAUUAGAUUCACAUGCGUUACUGCCAUAAUUGACUUUCCACAUUUAUGCAUGAAUUAUUAUGUCAAUAGAUGCAUUAUCAUUUUGUCAAGUUAAUCUGACUUAGGUUAAUCACCAAAGGCAAGGUGAAUUAAUUGACUCAAUUUUAAUAAAUUUUAAUUUAACUAAGUGCAAGUAAUAAUAAUAAAACAGUUAAAAAAUACAUAAUUAAAUAACUAAAAAGAAGAGAUAACAGGUACAAACUCCGAUUUAUAUUUUGCUCAAUCCCAUACUCUCCUCAAGCUCUCAAAUGCAAAUUGAGGGUUCCACUAGCUUUUAAGACUUCAAUCAAAUCUUAAUCCUUUACACUUGGAUUCUCAAUUUCAAUGAUCUUUUUACACUUUAAUUCAAGAAAUUCCUCACUCUUGAACAUACUCAAAGGUAACACUUGAACAACAUUGAUCUCACAAAAUUUUAUUUACAAAUAAUAUAAAUGAAAACUUAAAUGGUUUUUCUUGGCUAGGAUUUCUAAGUUAAUAAGGAUUUUUGCAUUAAAAAGAAAUAGUUAAAAUCAAUUGGGUUUUGUAAGAUUUUGAUAUAUAUCUUAGUUUGCGAGUUUUUUGGGAUUCUAUUAUAAUCUUAUUGUUUUAUCCUAAAAUUGUCAAAAAAAGAAAUCAGUAAUUUAGUAUGGCAAUUUUACUCCAAAGAUUAUUGAUUAAAAAUUAUUUUACUAAUACCAACGUGUAAGAGUUAAAGGCAUAAAAUUGAAAUUAAAGUAAGUUUAUUAUUUUGGAUUUGGUUAAGUAAUGACAAGAUUAAUAAUUGAAAUUAAUGUAAAAAGAAGUGUAAAAACUUUAAAAGUUUAAAAUAUCAUUUCAUUAUUAAUUAGUUUCCACUUGCCAACAUAGACUUCUCAUUCUAUUCAAACAAGUUUUUUGUACUUUUAUAUAUAUAUAUAUAUAUAUUUCAUAAACUUAACAAAGGAUACAAACAACAAAAGAAAAAAAAAAUUGAGCUACUAAACCUCAAUAUAAAUUUGGGGUGAAUUAUCAAGGUCUAUUAAGGAGCAUGGGGAAGUGUUGUAUCACAUAUCGAUGUGAAGAAGGUGUAUAUAUAUUUAUAGUAUAGGACCUAAGAUGUGAACGUUUCUUUUAAAGUUAGGUAAACAUUUCUUUCAAAAUUAAUGGAAUCUCACUAUGAUUUAUAUACACAUGCUUUCAGUGUCCAUAGAGGUUGAAAUAAUACGAUGAUUUUUAACUUAUAUCUUGCUUUUUAUAUGUGAUUUAAUAUUGUUUUGGAUUAUUGAUUAUGACUCAUGAAUUAUCAUGCAUGGAACUAAUCAAAAUGAUAUAAUUAAAUUAUAUUAAUGAAUUUGAGAUAGACAUGACAAUUAUUAAUUUAAAAUAUCUUAUAUGAACAUAAAAUUUUAAAUAUAGACUCAUAAUUUAUAUAUAUUAAUAUAAUAAAGUUGAAAAACUACGUUUAUCUCAAAUUUAUGCCUAGGGCCCAAAUUUUGCUGAGAGCCAGCCGGAUGUCAUCACAUGCAAGAAAGCUAGGAAACAAAGCUAAAGUUUGCUUCUUGUGUGGGAAGAGGUACUUCCGUGCUUGACUGAAAGAAAGGAUUUUCUACAAGAAAAAUUGUCCCCUUGUUUGUAAAGCCUCAAGUUGCGACAGCAAUAACGACAAAAGUAGGCCAAAGAAUUUGUCAUUAUUAUGAGACUAGAGAGGUUUUACUGAGAAGUUUUCCGAGCGUGAUAUCAGCAUUCGCUGUAUCACAGUGAUACAACAAAUGGUUUGAACACAGUGAUCUAGAACCCAUUAGCUCAAAUUUCAUUGAUCUGAACACGAUGAUCCUCAUCCGCAGACCAUUUUAGGGAAUGAUUAAUUCGAGCGAUUUUUUAACUGCCUGUACGAAGAACUUUAUCAAAAUUGGAUUCAGUGUAUCUUAACCAAUCUUGAUCAGUAUGCGACUGAUGAUUCUAUUUGAUAAAAGUAAUGCGGUGGCCCAACUUUAUCUUAAUUUCUAUGUUGAAAGUAACCAUAUAUUAUUCUAUAAUUAUAAAUAUAUACUGUGGAAUCAAGAUAACUUUGAUAUGCUAAGGAUCAAAAGAGGGCAGCCACUUUAGUAGUGGAUUAUACUAAAUAAAGCUGAUCGAUUAUUACAUUGGAAAAUAACAUUGAACCUAUCAUGAAAGACAACCCUACUGGACCAUGCCCCGAGUACUAAAUGCUGAUAAAAAACAAGUACAUGUUCCAAAGGAAUUGAGUCCAUAUAUACACAUUAGUGCUCAAAGAGAAAAACUAUAUAUCCACCGCUUAACUACAGUGAUCCUUUGAGCAGAAGAAGCUAGCCAUGUAUUUCCUUCUCCAAUACCUAAACAUCACCACGGUCGGAGUCUUUGCCACACUUUUCCUUUCCUACUGUCUAUUAUUAUGGAGGUCUAGAGCUGGUAACAAAAAAAUAGCACCUGAAGCUGCUGCUGCAUGGCCCAUAAUCGGUCACCUACACCUGUUAGCUGGUGGUUCUCAUCAGCUUCCCCACAUAACCUUGGGAAACAUGGCCGACAAAUAUGGACCGGUCUUCACAAUUCGGAUUGGGUUGCAUCGAGCUUUGGUGGUAAGUUCUUGGGAGAUGGCUAAAGAAUGCUCGACCGCCAAUGACCAGGUUUCAUCCUCGCGUCCCGAACUUUUAGCCUCAAAACAUUUGGGCUACAACUACGCCAUGUUUGGUUUCUCUCCAUACGGUUCUUACUGGCGUGAAAUGCGCAAGAUAAUCAGCCUAGAGCUACUCUCUAACAGCCGCUUAGAGCUGCUGAAGGACGUCCGAGCUUCAGAAGUGGUGACAUCCAUAAAAGAGCUAUACAAGCUCUGGGCAGAGAAAAAAAAUGAAUCGGGCCUUGUCUCUGUGGAGAUGAAGCAGUGGUUUGGAGACUUGACUCUGAACGUAAUUCUUAGGAUGGUGGCAGGGAAGCGUUAUUUCAGUGCUUCAGAUGCAAGUGAAAAUAAACAGGCGCAGAGGUGCCGGAGAGUGUUCAGGGAAUUCUUUCAUUUGUCAGGGCUCUUUGCGGUGGCGGACGCUAUUCCAUUUCUUGGAUGGCUCGACUGGGGGAGACAUGAGAAAACCCUAAAGAAGACAGCAAUAGAAAUGGACAGUAUUGCUCAAGAAUGGUUAGAGGAGCACCGUCGGAGGAAAGACUCCGGUGAUGAUAAUAGUACGCAAGACUUCAUGGAUGUGAUGCAGUCAGUUCUUGAUGGCAAAAACCUUGGUGGUUACGACGCUGAUACCAUCAAUAAAGCCACAUGCAUGCCUGGUAUGAGUUAUUAAUGAAGCACCCACGUACCAUUUAUAUUUGCAUAUUAUCAGGGCUAGCUUCUUUUCCACAGACAGUUUUUCUUUUGUUUAUAUGUUUUAAUUGAUGCAUAUUCACUUUCUUCUUCUCUUAAUUAAAUUGCAAUAAUUAAACAUACAAUUUAAAUAAAUUUUAAAUUUUAUUUUUAACUAAAAACAAAAGUAUACAUAUACAAAUAUAUAUUGCUUAAGCAAUUAAUUUUUAAAAAUUAUUCUUUCAGAACACCUUAGACAAGUUGAGACAUGCUUCGAGGGAAAUCUAAAUAUAAUGAUUUUAAAAGCUACUUUGUAAUUUUAUUUUCGAGCAUGUUGCAUAAUAUAUGCUUUCCUUGAAUUGAUUUUCUAAAUUUUAUUUUUGUCAGCAAGAAAGGGUUAUCUACGUUUUGGAAGUUAUCUUUAAUUUCCCCUGCAAAGAAUAAGUGUGUGGACCCUGCAUUUCGGCUCAAUGCGUUUCCCACUCGAUGGCGAGCUCGAUUUUUAUUUGAAAAAUGAUUUUUAUUGAUUAUUUAGAAAAUGACUUGGAGUCGCCACUUAUUUUUGUUUUAUUUUUAAAGGGUAAACAAAAUAAGAAAGAAAAACCCUAAGUGUGACUCCUUAUUUUGGAAAAGGUGGUCUGUGAAAAACUGAAUCGGGUUCAGGGGUCAGGUUACUUAUUGGGAAGGUACGGUAUGGACCGUAGCACCCCUCUAAGUCCCUAAAGUCGGGUCUCUACUAAUGAGAUGAAGCUGACAUGGCAAUCAAUGAGAAAAUCAAUGAAUACUCGAAUCAAUCAUGCACAUAUGAGAGACAAAGCAUGUAUAAAGAAUGAGCAAAAUAUGAAUAGAUGCGUACCUGGGCGACAAUCACGAAUGCGCUAUCAUGAAACAUGGUUAGUGAACAAUAAACAUAUAUAAUUAAGCGCAUAUCAAGGAAUAGAGUAAAUCAAUCAUGCAUGACAAAUAAAUCAAUCAAUCAUGGAAUCUCAUAUGUAGGGCCCCCACCAAAACCCAAUUCAUUUUUGCAUGAAUCAAUUCCAUAAAUUCCAUCACUUGGAAUUACGGAAUUUAAUUCUUACUUAUUUUUAAAACAUUUUAAAAACCAAGAAAAUGCACAAGUGGCUUGCCGGAAGGAAAAUGGCAACCAAAUUUUAUUGAAAAUGGGAUUUAAGAAGAUUAUUUUCAAGAAAACAGGGGAUGAGAGAAUAGAAGGAAAUGGCACAUGGUCAAGAGCUGCAUGCCUAAGGUGGCCAUGCAAAAACACUUCCCUCUAAGCUCAGGGUGGAGGGACUGCACUAUAAGGAUCAGUGGUGCUGCAGAGCUUGUCAGAACAGCUGAUGGCAUCAUAGGUGUUGCUCCUGAUUGCCUGAAAGAAUUCAUCUCUAAUGGACGGAAUCGAUUGCUCUACAUGAUUAUUCCAGAAGGUAAUGGUUGAGUCCUUAGCUUCACGAACCCAAUUUUUUAUGUCAUUACUUCCCAUCAAACUACCAUGACAUAGGAGCCACACUGAGCAAACUGAUGAGCCCGCUGCCCCACAUGUAUAGGGAAUCCAGUACAAAGUUAAUUUCCGCGGUUUACGAUGUUCGGAAACAAGGAUACUUAGGUAAGAAUCCAGCUUAUACAUGAUAAAUCACGNNNNNNNNNNNNNNNNNNNNNNNNNNNNNNNNNNNNNNNNNNNNNNNNNNNNNNNNNNNNNNNNNNNNNNNNNNNNNNNNNNNNNNNNNNNNNNNNNNNNGUGGAUGCCGCCUAUGAUACUAGCCUCAGAAAUCAUGCCAUUGACAUCGUUGUGCUUGUUACUAUUGCCAUCUCUAUCUCACAUGUGAGAGCCCUUGAUGGAAUCAAUUAAAAUAAUCCUUGAUAGAAACGUGGACUUCAUGUCUCAAAUCUGGCCUUUCAUAUCUCCUCAUUUGUCCAUGUCAACUAUUGUCACCAAGCCAUAAGCCUCUUGAUCCCAUGAUAACCCCAUUAUUCAACCCAAUACUUCAAUGAUGAUUCUCUUUCAUUUGCAUUCCUGACCUUCUCUUAUCUCCAUUACUGAUCCCAUGGAUGUUUACAGGAUUGAGUAUUUGGACGAGAGCAAACUUUGAUUAGAACCCUGUAUCAUGUUGAGUCUCUGCCAGCCUGGAAGGAUAAAAAUCACGUUGCCCCAUAUGGUGAGUUUUACUUUGAUUUACUCUUCCUCCUUGAUUCGUAUAAUGCAAGAAGGACAGGAGUUAAAAUGUCACGGAUAGCAUGAUGGCAAUGCCCAAAAGUAGCGUCAGUGUACAUUUGAGUCAAACGCGACUCCAUAUCAAACAUUGGCGGCCAGCGUCCAAGUCAAAGGGACGUAGUGCCCAUAAUUCACUGUUGAUAUUCUUCUUUCUGGGGAUGGAACAGAUCCAACUUCAAGGAUUGGGUGAGUCUCCUAAGAACUUUUCAUAAGGAUGGAUGACUGCCCAACAAUGCACUCAGGUUCCAUCAUUGCAAAGCCUCAACAGACUGCAUGCACCAUUCGUCGCGUACCUCACGACAAAUGUGAGUCUGGUUAAUCCCGUAGGAGGACUCCAAGCAGCAUGCAUAACGUACCUCUUCGGAAUAUCACAACGAGACCCACUGGUGCCCUCGUCUGAAUACCCCUCCGCCUCUCAUUCAAGUAAUGGGUGUUGGACCCAUGUAUGCAUGCAAAGAUGGAGGAGUGAAGUGGUGAGAGAAAGGAUGUAUGGAUUUAGCUGCGAGUAAGGUCACGGGUAUGGGAGGAUGGAUGCGGUGAAGACCUUUGAGGGUGAUGAAAAAUGGUGCAUGGAGUAAGAUAGGCUAAAGUGGAAAUGCGUGGUAGAAUGGGCAUAGGAGUAUCAUGAGAGAAGUGUGCAGGGACUACAUGCAUGUGGGUGGCUAGGGAAGUAAAAGAUGGGUUCAACAGUGAAACGUAUGGGAAUGAUGAGAGGGAAAGCGGAUUAGCAGAUGGGGUUAAUGAGUGAUAUGAAGAAUGGGGUAUGAGACCUGGGUAUAAGGUGAAAUGAAUAUGACAUGGUUAUGCAUGGCCAUGCCAUGGCCAUGCAAGAACAUGAUGGAAAGGGAGUGACGGAUGUAUGAAUAAUGGAGAGCAUGAGGAGGUAUGGGAUAGAUGAACAGGGCUGGAUGGUGGAUGAUGAAUAAGUAAUGGUGAAAUGGGUAUGAAAGAGUUUGAAGAGAGAGAAAAGGUGGUAAUGUGGAAUGGGUUUGAUAGGUGGGAGUACAAAGUGGGUAUGAAGAUGGGUAUGAAUGGUUUAGUAGGUACGAGACAAAUGGGUUAGAUGGAGGGUAUAAUGGGUGAUGUAAUGAUGGAAACCCGGGCGUUUAUUCAUCUUUGGAGGCACGAUACCCGGGUCAUGAACAGAUGGAUCACACUUCUUGGCCAGCUGCAUUCAGGCCAUAGUCAAUACAACCGACUUCGCUACCUCCAUUUCCAGGCACAGUGAUUGACACAAAGGAAGGUAACUUCCCAAUAAUCAAGCUUCUUUCGAUACAAGGUCUGCAUGGCUUAGCCGAGUUCAGUUUAGUUGGGUGUCGAAUCCCAUUGGUCAGUAGACCCAUUUGGAGCGAAACUGAACCCUUUAAUCCAAAUGGACCGUUACAGAGAGCACAAAGCAGCAGUAGGAUUAGCAAGACCCAGAGCAUAAGAGCGGGCUGUGACCAUGGCAGAGAUUCCAAAUUAGAAAGCAAGCACAAAACCAUCCAUGGAAGAGGUUAUCCAAGGUUUUGGAUGCUUAUGAAGUUUUCCCGCAAGUUGAACGAAUCUGUAACAGAGUGCCUUCUGAUCUAACCUGCAUAGUUUCAACAUGUACCACACCAUCCCCAUUCACGGUACCUCCAAUCACUAUGUCACCCUUCUUUCUUCGCCAUAGGCCUAGCAUCCUCUGUGAGCAUGUUCUUGAACCCACAAUCUCCCGCUUUACCUCAUGGAAACAUGUCAACCAAAAUAGCCCACCCAUCAAGUGACUGAUUCAACUCUGAUACCCGACAUCUCAGAUGCACCAACAACAGAAGCACAAAAGGGUAGGAAAUGGGGCCAAAACAGAAAAGAACGAAGGAAGGAUAAACGAGGAAUAAAGUAAAACAUAAGUGUAUAGAGCCUCAUUUCAGGUGACAUCCAUGGGCUUAUACAAGUGAGGAGAUCUCAAGUUAGAGUUACAGAAUAUAUGAGGAACCGAGUUCUAUUAACUCCAAGCCAAACCACAAGAACAGCAGUAAAAUCAACAACAAUAGAGUAUAAAAACGAUCCAGAAAUCAACAAAAUUCAGUACGUAUGACCCAACUCAAAUUGAUGAGCAAUGCAGAGCAAACCAAAAUGAGAAAAGGGUGAGAAAAAUAUGAAUCAAAGUAAGCAAGAAACUCACCUCAAACUCACCUGCAGACGCUCCUCUCUCUAUUCCUUCAUUCUCUAAGCUUCAGCUAGCCAAAAACAACGCCCAGAAUCUCCGUCACACAGCCACCCAAAACCUCCUCCUCUGCAGCCUCGAACCUCUCUGCCAACAAACAGCAACCAAAAGCACCUCCCCCUCUCGGAAACUUCUUUCUCCCUAAAAAAAAACUCUCAGACCAGCCUCUCUAAAGCUCCCCCUCUCUCAAGUUCACCGUCCAAAAUUACUCCUCUCAUGGAAAAACUCCCUGGAAUCCCCUCAGCAGCCCCGGUACCUCCAGCUAAAAGAAAAUCACCCCCCCCGGUUCUCAUGUCUCUCUCACCUUUUUUUCUCUCUAGCCAAAACCAGCUUUCUUUUCCUCCCUUUGGAAAUAUCUCCCUAACGGCCAGACGACACCCACCUGCCUUGCAGCUGCAAGCCUCCACUCCCCCCUAUGCAGCUGGCAGCCUCCCAAAAUCAACCCAACAAAAGCUCUUCCCCUAAAGAUUUCUGCCACCUUCCUCUUCUAGGCAAUAUCUCUUUUCUGUCCCGGAUUUGCCCCUCCAACAAUCCCUGUAGCCACCUCCAGCACCACUACACUCUGCAUGCAACUGGCAACACCUCCUAACGGAAAGCACGCUCCCUUCUUCUAGAAUGUUCUUCACUUUCCAGGUGUCUUCCUCUUAUUAGUCCAUCAAUUCCACCAUAGUGAUUCCACUAGUAGCCAACCCGAGAGUGACACGUGGCCAUGCGAGAUGGUGACACUUGUCCAGCAUCAGCUGCAAGAAUGACUCCCAAAAUGGGGGUCUACAACUAUGCCCAUUUUCGGUAGAGUUCACAAGUGUAAGGAAAAUGAACACUGGAAUGAAAGGUAGGUGUGAAUAGUGAGUGGAAUGAAGUGAACUCUACCGAAGAACCAAGGAGACCCCCAUAGGGACACUAGCAAAACACGAAUUCGCUCAGGCUGACAGACUGACACAAAGGCUCUGAUCCUAAAACAAAAUGAUGUCUCAAAAUGCCUCUGAGGCCAUACUAAGGAUCCAAGCUCCCUUUAACAUGCCUCCAAAAGUGACCCGAAGAUCGAUGUCAAAAGUGAGUAACGGUCGAACCACCCUGGAGUACGAACAAGAAUGCGUCUAAAGGAGACUGCCCUAUGUGGACUAUGAGAUGAAUAGGUGAUAAGCACAGGGUAACGAGGUGAGAAGAGUGAGAAUAAGUGCAAAUCCAUGAAGGUGAGAUGCGCAAUGCCAGUGAAUAUGAACGCUAGGGGCUGCGACUCUGAAUGACGAGACUGACCCUAAACGCUAAACUGAGAAAAACAAUGGCUCUGGAAGCCAGACCAAAAACUAACUCUAAAAACUAAACUAGAAUAACAGCUCUGGAAGUCAACCAAAAACUAACUCUAAAAGCUAAACUAGAAAACAACAGCUCUGGAAGCCAACCAAAAACUAACUCUAAAAACUAAACUAGAAAAUAACAGCUCUGGAAGCCAACCAAAAACUAACCCUAAAAGCUAAACUAGAAAACAAACAGCUCUGGAAGCCAACCAAAAACUAACUCUAAACUAGAAAAUAAUAGCUCUGGAAGCCAAACUGAAAACUAACUCUAAAAGCUAAACUAGAAAACAACAGCUCUGGAAGCCAAACCAAAAACUAACUCUAAAAACUAAACUAGAAAAUAACAGCUCUGGAAGCCAACCAAAAACUAACCCUAAAAGCUAAACUAGAAAGUAACAAACAGCUCUGGAAGCCAACCAAAAAACUAACUCUAAAAACUAAACUAGAAAAUAACAGCUCUGGAAGCCUAAACAAGUCGACAGUAACGACUCUGGAAGCCUAAACAAGAUGAUAGUAAUGGCUUUGGAAGCCUAAACAAGAUGACGGUAACGACUCUGGAAGCCUAAACAAGAUGAUAGUAAUGGCUCUGGAAGCCUAAAUAAGAUGACGGUAAUGGCUCGGAAGCCUAAACAAGAUGACAGUAACGACUCUGGAAGCCUAAACAAGAUGAUAGUAAUGGCUCUGGAAGCAUAAACAAGAUGACAGUAAUGACUCUGGAAGCAUAAACAAGAUGACAGUAAUGGCUCUGGAAGCAUAAACAAGAUGACAGUAACGACUCUGGAAGCCUAAACAAGAUGAUAGUAAUGGCUCUAGAAGCCUAAACAAGAUGAUAGUAAUGACUCUAGAAGCCUAAACAAGAUGAUAGUAACGACUCUGGACGUCGAAACUAAAAAGUGAUGAUGAUGACUCUGAACGUCAAACUGAGAAGUGAUAACGACUCUGAACGCCAAAACCGAGGAUGCGACUCUGAAUGUCGAUCUGAAAACCGAUGAUGGCUCUGAACGCCUAAACUGAGAAAUGAUGAUGAUGACUCUGAACGUCAAACUGAGAAGUGAUAACGACUCUGAACGCCGAAACCGAGGAUGCGACUCUGAAUGUCGAUCUGAAAACCGAUGAUGGCUCUGAACGCCGAAACUGAGAAGUGAUGAUGAUGACUCUGAACGUCAAACUGAGAAGUGAUAACGACUCUGAACGCCGAAACUGAGGACGCGACUCUGAAUGUCGAUCUGAAAACCGAUGAUGGCUCUGCACGCCGUAACUGAGAAGUGAUGAUGAUGACUCUGAACGUCAAACUGAGAAGCAAUGAUGAUGACUCUGAACGUCAAACUGAGAAAGUGAUAACGACUCUGAACGCCGAAACCGAGGAUGCGACUCUGAAUGUCGAUCUGAAAACCGAUGAUGGCUCUGCACGCCGUAACUAAGAAGUGAUGAUGAUGACUCUGAACGUCAAACUGAGAAGCAAUGAUGAUGACUCUGAACGUCAAACUGAGAAAGUGAUAACGACUCUGAACGCCGAAAUCGAGGAUGCGACUCUGAAUGUCGAUCUGAAAACCGAUGAUAGCUCUGAAUGCCGAAACUGAGAAGUGAUGAUGAUGACUCUGAACGUCAAACUGAGAAGUGGCUCUGAACGCCGAACUGAAAAAUGUGACAUGAUGACUCUGAAUGUCGUAAACCGUGAAUGAACGGCGACUCUGAACGCCAGACUGCAAGGAAACAAUGUGGGGGAAAUAUGCCCCAGUGUGACAUGCCGCUGCAAAUCUCAAACUGCUAGAAAUGGCUAAAAGGGACUCUACGAGUCUCGAAAGACGCACCACUAAGAGCUCAUGUCAAUGAAGAGCUCAGGAACAACGGUCAGUGAGGCGAAUACAAUAUAUCUCGGCCGAGUGAUGGAAACCGCGACGGACAUGUGAGAGAACGAUCGCCUCCAUGGCUAAAUGAGGGAAAUACGCCCCAGUAUGGCAUCAGAUGUACCCGAUCUGCCCUGAUGACCCGAGAAUAACACCAUGGGGAUGCAUAAAAGACCUGAUGUGUACCGCACUGAAAUGAUGACAUGGGGAUCCAAGCACUCGACAUAACCCCAUCCAGGAAUCACGACUAUAUCAAAGAGUAUGAAUCUGGCUGAACGAGUCAAGAGAGGCUCCUCGGAGUAUCAGGACAAAAUGAAAUCAAUCAUCAACCUGGCGUGUAUCUCAUAACUGUGGAUGAUCAUGUAAACCAGUGGGGAUCUAUAAAUCUCGAUCAAGAUGGGGAAUAUGCCCCAGUGUGGCAUCGGAAAUGUAACAUGUCGAAAAAUCAGCUGAGCUCAAAUCAUCUAUGCCUGCAACUAGCUAGAUGGCUCUCGAUAGGCUCCACUAAGGAAUCAUCGCGAGGAUAGCGAAUAUAUCAUCAUCCCUGUAUACAUCUCGCAAAUAAGGAUAAGCACGCAACUUCCUCAUGAUCUGUAAAUCUCAUCCGAACGGAAAUAUGCCCCUGUAUGGCAUCGAAAUGUAGGAUAGGUCGGAGAUCAGAUAGCAUGGAAUCAUCUAUCUUAGAACAUGUGACCUCUGCGAAAAUCCAUAAAGAUCCUCCGAAACGGAAUAUGCCCCAGUAUGGCAUCUGACGUGCGACAAACCAGGAAAAACAGGUGACAUCGAAUCAUCCCUCAUCAAACACGUGAUCCUGGUAAUCCAAACACGGUCGAAACGGAUCUAAACAUCUGAGAAGUGUUUCUCAGAAGAAGAUGCAUGGCAAAUAUCUGGAUGUCAACUGAAUCUCAAACACCUGUCCACAUAGAAGCCGUAGAAGACGAUAUCUGAUCCCAUGGCCUCAGGGUGGUCUUAAGACACAGGACGUAAUGUAGGCUAGGGUGAUAGGGUGAUAGAAACGAAGGGAAACUAAGCUCAAAUACCCAAUGAUCAAAACCCAUGCCCUCGUGUGUGAAAUGCAACAUGUACAGAAAAUCCUGUGAGCCCUGGACCUGAGGGUGUCUAAUGUGAAUAUGAUGUCAAUGAGGAAACAAGUGAAGCAAAUCAAACUGAUAAUGAGAUAUGUAAUGGUGAUACGAAGGGAAUAUCAAACCCGAGAUGGGUCUGGUAAGAAAAGAAUGAGAAGUGAAGUGAGAAUGACGAAUCAGAAGCGAAAACGAGGACGAUGAUAAUGAAGCGAAUAACAUCAAAAGGAGUGAUGAUCAACUCAGAUCAGACAUGGAGUGAUGUCACAUCAACUACGAACAUAAUGAUGGAACGUACAAUAACGCAGAGCUCCUAAGAGAAAGUCACUCAUCUCGCUCACAAAAUAUGCAACAAAAUGAAUACAAAGCCUGAGGGAUCCAGGGAAGCUCACAUACGAACUCCCGUCAACAAACAUACUCGAUCAAGUGACCCUCGAAUAUCAAUACAUACACUCAGUGAUGGAUAACAAAACACACUUGAUUUUUAUUUCUUUUUCCAUUUUUUUUUUUUCAUUUUUUUCAUUCAUUUUUUUUUUUUUUUACAACAUAUAAAUGAACUGUACAUGAUCUGAAUGCAUACAAAGAAGACCCAAAGACGGGAUCAAAAAUGAAUAAACAUGCCCUCAAAUAUCAAUAUAUCACAAACUCAAUCUAAUGAGAUGAGGUGACCUUCUCAAACUGAGGAUCCCUGGAUCAGUGUCCGUGGGAUAGAUAGUGGAAAUGGCGUGACUACCCUCCAUGUGAUGAAAUGAGGAGGAUCACCCCUCGGGGUGAAAGAAGAUGACAUGAAACGAAUAGUAGAUAAGAUAAAGAAAAUAUGAUGAAUAACACGAACAGUGAGAUGAGAUGAAAUGCAAUGAUGCAGUGGUGAGCACAGAUAAUGAGAAGAACGUGCCCCUAGGUCCAAGGCUCAUGAAACUCUCAAACAAUGCAUGCAUACACUAAAGGGCCCCAAUCCCGGUGUGAAAAUGUGAGCAAGGCUAUAGAAAAUGAAGGCUAUGAUGCGCGUGUGAGGCUCAAAUGGGCUAGCAAUGGACUAUAUAUAUCAGAAACGGGAUAAAGGGAUAUAGCUAACCGAAAUGAUGGCCACCCAUCCUGCGACCAUGGACUCAAACGUAGUACCUCUUUAGCUGAUCCACAUUGGUCGGCUCUGAGAACUGGUUUCCAUCUAAAUCCAUCAGCCAUGCAGCGCCCUCUGGAGUCAACUUCCUGAUGAAAUAAGGUCCGCUCCAACUAGGUCUGAACUUCCCUCUAGGAUCUCUGAUCAAUCCUCUGAUGACUCUCAAAACUAAGUCACCUACAUGCAGUGGUCUAGGCUUGACCUGCUUUUUGAAAGCGCGGGCCAUCUUCCUCUGAUAUGCACGAACGUGGUCUGCUGCUCUCAAUCUCCUCUCAUCUAGGAGAUUGAGCUGAUCAAAUCGAGCCUGAGCCCAAUCCGUCUGGGGAAUCUGCUGCUCUAGUGCUACUCUCAAUGAUCCCAUCUCAAUCUCAACAGGUAGCACUGCCUCCAUGCCGUACACCAAUGAAUAGGGUGUGGCUCCUGUAAAGGUGCGAAAAGAAGUCCGAUAUGCCCACAAUGCGAAAGGGAGCUUCUCUGACCAAUCCCGAGAAGUCUCAACCAUCUUUCGCAAUAUCCUCUUAAUAUUCUUAUUCGCGGCCUCUACUGCCCCAUUCGUCUGCGGCCUGUACGCAGACGAUCUAUGAUGCCGGAUGCCGUAUCUCUGCACCAAGGUGUCAACCUCUGCUCUGAAAUGCACCCCUCUGUCUGAAAUAAGCUCGUGAGGGACUCCAUAGCGACAAAUGAUGUGCGAUCUAAUGAAACUGACAACUCCAGAUGACGUCAAUCUCGCAUACGAGGCGACCUCCACCCACUUGGUGAAGUAAUCAAUAGCAACAAGGAUAAACUCAUGACCACUGGAAGAUUUCGGUGAAAUCUUCUCGAUGAUAUCGAUACCCCAUACUGAAAACGGCCAUGGUGAAGUCAAUGCAUGCAACUCCGAGGGCGGCACGUGAAUGAGAUCUCCAUGUAUCUGACACUCGGGACAUCUCUGAACGAACUGGCAACAAUCUGUCUCCAUGGUCAACCAAAAGUAUCCUGUCCUCAUGAUCUUACGGGCCAACAUAUGCCCCCCAUAUGUGGUUCGCAGACUCCCGCAUGAACCUCUCGCAUAACUCUAUCGGCAGAAGCGCGAUCCAAACAUAAUAGCAGUAUCCCAUCAAAUGAUCGUCUAUAUAGCGUCUCGCCACAAAUCACGAAUCGGGUGGCCAACUGUCUCAAUGCCCUCCUAUCCUUGGCCGUGGCGGCCUCAGGAUAUAUGCCGAGUCUCAAAAAGUGAUAUAUGUCAUGAUACCAGGGCAAACCAUCGUCUAUCUCCAUAUCAUCAAUCAAACAACAAUACGCAGGAGCAGAUCUCGACUCAAUCAACAAAGGGCGAACAGUGGCAUCAGCGGGAAUGUCGAUCAUGGAAGCUAGAGUAGCUAAAGCAUCAGCAAACUGGUUUUGCGCUCUAGGCAGAUGUGUAUAUCUCAAAUCCUCAAAUCUCGCGACCAGUAGCUCCAAAUACGCGUGGUAAGGCCUAAGCUUCACAUCUCUAGUCUUCCACUCGCCUUGAAUCUGUCUCAAUACCAGAUUGGAGUCACUAAACACCUCCAUCUGUCUAAUCCCAAGCUCGAGGGCUGUCUCUAACCCCAAGAUACAUGUCUCAUACUCAACAAUGUUGUUCGUGGCUGGAUGUCGAUCCGAGAAUGCCAAACGAACAGAUCUGGGAAUGUGAUCACCAUGAGGGGAUAUCAACAAAACGCCUAUCCCGUAUCCAGAAUGGUUGGCUGCACCAUCAAAGUACAUGCGCCAACCCGACAGACUAGUCGCAGCUGCGACGUCCUCGUCUGGAAAAUCAUCGUCAAUAGCUCUGGCAUCAGAAACUGGUAAUGAGGCUAAGUGAUCUGCGACAAUGCUCCCUCUGAUGGACUUCUGAGUGACAUAAUGAAUGUCAAACUCAGUCAGAAGUACCAGCCAUCUCAUAAGGCGACCAACUAGAGCGGGCCUGUCAAACAAAUAUCUCAAAGGAUCAAGACGAGAUAUCAAAUGCACUGAAUACUCGGUCAUGUAAUGUCUCAAUCGGCGAGUGGCCCAAACCAAUGCCAAGCAGUAGCGCUCAAUCGUGACGUAUCUCGUCUCGUAAUCUAGCAUCCUCUUGCUCAGAUAAUAAAUGGCUCGAUCUUUGCCCGAAUCAUCGAGCUGAGCUAACAUGCAACCUAAAGCCACAUCCGAAACUGAUAGGUAUAGGAGUAGAGGAUGGUCUGGUGUAGGCGGAGCCAAAACUGGAGGCGACAACAAGUACUCUCGGAUCCUCUCAAAUGCGCGCUGACACUGAUCAUCCCAAACAGUAGGUUGACUCUUCCUCAAGAGUCGGAAAAUGGGCUCACAAAUGUCUGUCAAUCUGGCUAUGAAUCUACUGAUGUACUGAAGUCUGCCCAGGAAGCCUCUGACCUCUCUCUCUGUCCUCGGUGCAGGCAUGUCAAGGAUGGCUCUAAUCUUGUCCGGAUCUACCUCUAUGCCUCGCUCACUGACCAUGUACCCCAAGAGUUUCCCAGAAGUCACUCCAAAAGUGCACUUCUUGGGAUUCAGCCUCAAUCUAAAUUGUCUGAUCCUCUCAAAGAACCUCUCAAGAGCUGCCAAGUGAUCUGAUCUAUCUCGGGAUUUCACUAUCAUGUCGUCUACAUAAACCUCGACAUCCCGAUGCAUCAUGUCAUGGAAGAGUGUGGUCGCUGCUCUCUGAUAGGUGGCUCCUGCGUUCUUCAAUCCGAAUGGCAUGACUCUAUAGCAAUAAGUACCCCACUCGGUAAUGAAGGACGUCUUCUCCAUGUCCUCUGGAGCCAUCAAGAUCUGACUAUACCCGGAAAAUCCGUCCAUAAAGGACAACAUCGAGUGACCUGCUGUACUGUCAACUAACAUGUCGAUGUGUGGGAGAGGAAAAUCAUCUUUAGGACUGGCCUUGUUGAGAUCUCGGAAAUCAACACAGACUCUCACCUUGCCGUCUUUUUUGGGAACAGGGACGACAUUGGCCAGCCACUCUGGGUACUCGACUACUGAUAGAAAUCCUACACUGAGCUGCUUCUGAAUCUCCUUUUUCACCUGCAAGCUCCAACGAGGGUGCAAUCGUCUCAACCUCUGCUUAACCGGUCUGGCAUGGGGCAGAAGUGGCAAACGAUGCUGGACGAUGGAUGGAUCAAGGCCCGGCAUGUCCUCAUAGGACCAUGCGAAAACGUCCAAGUAGGAUCUGAGCAGCUGGAUGAGACUAUCUCUCUCAUCUGAGGAUAAAUCUGACCCGAUCCUCAACUCCCUAGGCUGAUCUGCGGUGCCGAAAUCAACAAUCUAUGUGUCUCCUACAGCAGGUGAAACCCUCUGAUCAACGGGAUCCGAAUCGGAAACAGAAGAUGAGUCAUCAUCUGAGUCGUGCUGUGCAAUCUCAUCAUCAAUAUCAAAAAUCUGUGAUGUGGGUGAAGAUGGUGCAGAUAAAUCAAUAUCACAAGAGACAGGCAGGUACUAAAAAAUGCUCAAAUCCAUAGAUGAAACAUCGGAAACAAUGUCAGAACGGGAGACAAACCCCGACUGAACGUCAAAUGAAAGAGGUGGGUCCACAAAGUCGGACGCUUCCUCAACAAUGCCAACAUGGCUAUCAAUCAAAUCAUAAAAAACUAUAGCAUCCUUAGUAAUCUCCAGAGCAGGGGCUGUCUGGAUCUCCUCAACGAUCUCGAUGAAAGACACCCCGAAAAGAUCGAAUGGUGAAGUGAGCCCAGGAUGAACUCUCUCCUCGAUCGGGCCCAGGCUCAGGGCGAGCAUCUCGUCGAUGUACUCGUCGUGUGGGACGGCUCCGUCCACUAUGUCUCCGACCCCAGCAAAGGUCUCAUGCUCAUCGGUCUCGUCCGGGAAGCAAAGCGUUAUAAGGCUCGUGCGAUCUGGAGACGAAGGAGCAAUCAACACAGAAGUCGAAGAGCCAGGAGCUCCAUCUCUCAAUCGUAACUGAUGGACAAGGCGCUGAAGCUCGACCUCCUGAGUGGUGCUAAGUCCUCCAAUGAUCACGUCCGCACGGGUCAAUGGCUCUGAUGCCCUCACAAAAUAAUCAGAUAAGCUCCUGGUGUAUGGGCGAAGAGGAUAGUAGAAAGGUGUGUGGGUCAGUCACUCUCUCCUUGCGCAAACGCGCCAUGUAGAGAUAAUCGGCCUCAAUGGGGAUGAACCCGAGUCCGAACGGUACGUCGUGAUCAGGGAUGGCUAUGAACUCGCUCGGUCCAUGCUGACAUCGACCCAACCCCAUGCCGGGUAGAUAGGACAUGCUUCGCAUAAUAUCGAGCACCACUGUGCUCCCAUGCCGGUCAAAGGACAUGGCCACAAAAUCCCGGCAGAAAUCCUCUAUCUCCACAGUCUGCACCUCAUCGAAGGUGAAUUCAGUCAGAAAAAGAUCGUCAUCAGUGUGACUAAUCUCGAGCACAGGCUCGGCAACAAUGAACAUGUCUCCCACAGACUGUACCACGACGACCUGACCAUCGUGAAUAAACUUCACCUUCUGAUGAAGGGAAGAAGGAAUGGCCCCGGCUCUAUGGAUCCAUGGUCGGCCCAGAAGCAGGUUAAAGGAUGUAGGAAUCCUCAAAACCUGGAAUACAGCGACAAAAGUGGCCGGACCGAUCAGCAACUCGAUCUCCAAUGUACCCAUGACCUCUCUACGGGUGCUAUCAUAAGCUCGGACGGUCUGAGUGGAGGGACCGAAAUCAGAAGGAGCGUAUCCAAGGGCGAUGGCAGUGGCAAGAGGACAUACGUUCAGGGCCGAGCCAUUGUCCAAAAGGACAGAUGGGACUCGGCGGCCUGAACAGCCAACAGAUAUGUAGAGCGGACGAGUGUGGUCCGAGCCCUCCGGUGGCAAGUCAUCAUCGGAAAAGACGAUACAAGUGGCUCUGCCAGCCGUCAUCAUAUGAAGGAGUCCCUCGGGAGUGGUCGUGGUAUCAACUCUGAUCUGGCUCAGAGCUCGAGUCAGUGCGUCCCGAUGGGUACUGGAAGACGCUAAAAGGCUCCAGAUAGAAAUACGAGCCUGAGUGCUCUGCAACUGCCUCAAAAUCUCGUCAUCCUCUGCUCUCACCUCCUCCUGGGAUGACGUACCCCCUAAGGGUCUAGCGGGAGCGGCUGGAGGUGGCUGUCUCACUACUCUCCCUCCCCGGAGGAUAUACUAAACGUCCGGAGUCUGAGGAUCAUCACUAUGUGGAGCCUGAACCUCCUCAACAUCUGGGAUCAGAAUGUACGGCGCCUGAACGCUAUAGCGUGUGAAUGUCAGAGGCUCGGAAGUGGCCGCCUGUACAGAUGCUGCCUCAGGAACUAAUCGGAAUGGAGCAGGCAUCUGUGGCUCUAGAGUCACCCCACUCGUCUCGUAAAUCACAGCUGGCAUGAUAGGCUCUGGGUCUGGAUCAUCCCAACUCAACAUAUGGACAUGAUCAUCAGUCUCAUCGAAGUCCAAGAAAUGAAUACCACAAGCUGGUGGAGGAACUGCAUGUGUGGUGUGGGUCGGCAACGGGUUUGUGGUCACACUCGGCUGACCCAAGUGUACCAAACCCUGGUCUAUCAGAUCCUGAAUAGCGUGCCUCAGAGCGGUGCAUCGAUCGGUCUCAUGUCUAGGCCCCUGAUGAUAAGCACAGUGUAAAUCCAUCCUGAACUGAGCUGGAAUAGGCUGAGGUAGUGGCCGAGGGGUGAGAGCAGUCAAUAAACCAGCCUCCGUAAGCUUCCGAAGAGCCUGGCUCAACGGCAUGCCUAUCUGCGAGAACUGCCUCUGCGUCCUCAAAGUAAACGGAGCAGAAGUCUGCUGGGCUCCAGGUCGGGGAUAAGGCGCCGCAGGUCUCGCGGUGAACUGAGCAGCGUAGCAUGGCUGCCCUGUGGCUGUGUAGGAGACCGCGGGUCUCUCAAUGCCCUGAGUGGCAUAAGAAGGUAAAACCAAUGUCUGUGGCAUGUGUGUCUGAUCGUAAGCCGGACGAGGUGCCCGUGGCCUGUACUGAUGAGAUGCAUAGGAAGAAUGAGGCUCGAAAAACUGUGGGAUCGGCUGAUGGCGUCUAAGAGGCCUCUGACUGGAUGAACUGAUAGCACCAACCUCUGUCGGUCUCGGUCCUACGAAUAGUUUCUUCCCCUUAACAUCACUAGGGGAAGAAUCUGCCCAUAAACCUCUCGUGAUGCCGUCCUCGACAUCAUACAAAGCCAUAACCAGAGACCCAAAAUCUGUGAACGGGACCCCGACCACAUGUCUGGCGAUCCCCGGCUGUAGGCUCCUCAAAACCAUCUGAAUCUAGUCUCUCUCUGAUGGUCUAUCCACUAUCUCAGCUAUCUUCCCGCGCCAGCGGGAAAUGAAAGAAGAAACGGACUCCUCUGUCCUCUGCCUUAGAGCCUCGAGCUCUCUCCUCGAUACAUCUACAACAGUGUUAAACGAAAACUGUCGUAGGAACUCCUGGGCCAAGUCAUCCCAUGUACGGCGUCUCGAGGACUCCAGAGACGCAAACCAGCGCUGAGCUGCCCCACUCAGAGAUAGGGGGAAAAGAGUGAUCAUUUGAGGCUCGUCCAGUCCAUGAGCCCUCAUCACGGUGCUAUAAAGUCUGAGGUGGAGGCGCGGACAACCAAUACCAGUGUACCUCUCAAUAUCUGGCAUCCUGAACUUAGUUGGCAAGCUGGCUACCGGCAUACCCCCAAAAUCAUCCCAAACAACUGAUCCAUCUGACACUCUCAUCUGCCUCAUACACUGCUCGAUGCGGUCCAUGCGGGCAUGCGUGUCAUCAGCGACAACGGCCUGGGCGACUACGGGUGGAGUGAUCUCAGAAUGCCCGUGUAAUACAUAUGGUGAUGCCUGAUGCACUGAAGGAACGAGUGGGGGUGGUGGAGGUGGGUGUGAGUCAUAUGGCGUCUCAUCCUGGACUGCUGGUGGUCUACCCUACUGACCACCGAUCUCCUGCCUGAGGCUAGCCAAAGCCUCCUGGAUAGAAGCCAUGGCAGCCGUGAACUGAUCGACCGUGACAACCUGCUGAUCCAUAUCUGGUGUAUCUGAAACCCGAACUAAUCUGCCCUCUACUCUGAUCCACGAAACUAUACCCAGACUGAGAGUAAAAAUCCUGAUCCUGAAAGUACUCCUCUUCUGCUCUGAUCCACAAAGGUAUAUCAAGACAAGGAACAAAUGUCCUAUCCUACAAAGCACGAAGAACGUAAUAAGGAUAUGGCCCGGGGAACGUAUAGAAGAAAAGAUAAUCUGAACAGGAACAAGCAAAGCAUCCAAGUGAAGAUGAGCGAUCCGACCGUACUCAAACUCGUCCUGAUCUCAGUGCACUCUCAACUGGAGACUAAACAGAGGGAAAAUCGGAUCCAAAACUGCGGCUACAGAGGCACGGAAAGCCCUCAGAUGCACCCACGUGUAGGGAGGGAAUCCUAAUCGAAGGAUCUACGGCUCAACCUACAAGGUCAAGGUGGCUCUAAAUGGAUAAGGGUGGACUUUAAAAUAUCCCUAGCAGAAGCGAUUAUACCCUCCGACGGUACGCAACCCUCUGCACGUCUCCGAAGAGACGGGGCGCUUCCAUGCAAGGUGGUCAUCACCUCCACACAUGCACUACCUCGCAUCCCAGGGGGUUUCCUAUGGUGAAACCUCUCAAACUCUCAACACUCAAUAGUCGACUAGAGUGCACAGUGAAUGGUGUGGGUGCAUCCGAAACCCUAAAAAGCUAAAGCAGGAUAUGAAACACACUGGCCACACAAAUAUCCAUGAAACCUAGCUUCGGGCUAUACAGGUCUUCAAUGAUCGGACUCCAAUCGACAUCAAAGUGUCGCUCUCCUCCAAAAUGCUCCCGUGCAUCGAUAUAGCCCAUCGCUAGACCCUACUCCUAAUCUCCGGCUCGGUCAAAGAGCAAGCACACAGAAGGUCUCACACUUGCAAUAGUGAGAACCGAAAUGAAAGGAAUGACCGAAACCAAGAGAGUUGGAGGUAGGGGGAUAGAAGUGAGACCCACAUAGACAGGCAACAUGCAAUCAUACAGAGGGAGGGCAGUCAUGCAUCAUACGGUCAAGCAGAGUAUAGGAUAUAUCACUCAUGUCCACACAAAAAAAAAAGCUACAACUAUCAGGAUGAAUAGUGAUAUGAACAUCAUGCUCAAAAGAUGAUCUAGAUAAUAUGCAGGUCAGAGAAAACAACACAGCAAGUCAAACGAUGUACAAUAGUGAGUCUAUGCAUGUGAAGUGAGCAGAAUAAUCAGGAAGAAACAGAAUCGCUUUACCAAGCAAAACAAGGUGAGCAACCUAUGAUAAUCGGCAUGUCAAUGUACCAAACUAAUAUAGCAAUGAAGUACAAAAAAAACGACAUCCGAAGCCCCAAAUCAAGAUGAUCAAUCAUAUCAAUGUCACAACAUAAUAUCCAAGCAUACAUAAAAAAAACUCUCAAUGUGCAAUCAAGAGACAGGUACUCGCUGAUCGACUCAUCAAAUGCCCUGUUUGCUUCAUCUUAAGUUCAAGCUUGACCCUCUAACUCAUCCCCAGCGGAGUCGCCAUUUUGUGGACCCCGCAUUUCGGCUCAAUGCGUUCCCCACUCAAUGGUGCAUGCAGUCUGUUGAGGCUUUGCAAUGAUGGAACCUGAGUGCAUUGUUGGGCAGUCAUCCAUCCUUAUGAAAAGUUCUUAGGAGACUCACCCAAUCCUUGAAGUUGGAUCUGUUCCAUCCCCAGAAAGAAGAAUAUCAACAGUGAAUUAUGGGCACUACGUCCCUUUGACUUGGACGUUGGCCGCCAAUGUUUGAUAUGGAGUCGCGUUUGACUCAAAUGUACACUGACGCUACUUUUGGGCAUUGCCAUCAUGCUAUCCGUGACAUUUUAACUCCUGUCCUUCUUGCAUUAUACGAAUCAAGGAGGAAGAGUAAAUCAAAGUAAAACUCAUCAUAUGGGGCAACGUGAUUUUUAUCCUUCCAGGCUGGCAGAGACUCAACAUGAUACAGGGUUCUAAUCAAAGUUUGCUCUCGUCCAAAUACUCAAUCCUGUAAACAUCCAUGGGAUCAGUAAUGGAGAUAAGAGAAGGUCAGGAAUGCAAAUGAAAGAGAAUCAUCAUUGAAGUAUUGGGUUGAAUAAUGGGGUUAUCAUGGGAUCAAGAGGCUUAUGGCUUGGUGACAAUAGUUGACAUGGACAAAUGAGGAGAUAUGAAAGGCCAGAUUUGAGAGAUGAAGUCCACGUUUCUAUCAAGGAUUAUUUUAAUUGAUUCCAUCAAGGGCUCUCACAUGUGAGAUAGAGAUGGCAAUAGUAACAAGCACAACGAUGUCAAUGGCAUGAUUUCUGAGGCUAGUAUCAUAGGCGGCAUCCACCAGGCCAUUUUGAUCCAUAAGAAAGGUAGCAAAGUGCAUCGGGGCUUCCUCUUCGUUUUGGGUGGAAUGGUGAUCUUUGUGUUCCUCAACGACAUCCAUGGAGUGGAGUAGAUUGUUUAUUUGACAGUAGCAAUUGCAAAUGGGUCAUUAAUGGACUUGGUUUUGAUUACCAGGGCUUGAGAGGUUUCUUACCGAAUGAUAUAUCCCAAUCGCGCCAUCUACAUGCAACACGUCAGAAUGAUUCUUCUGUGGAUGGGAGCUAUUCAUGUCCUCUGGUGUUUGAGAAACUGCCAGACGUAAACCAGGAAGGGUCCCAGUGGACAGAUUGUGAAAUUCGAGAGACCAUCAACGUGAUUUAUCAUGUAUAAACUGGAUUCUUACCUAAGUAUCCUUGUUUCCGAACAUCGUAAACCGCGGAAAUUAACUUUGUACUGGAUUCCCUAUACAUGUGGGGCAGCGGGCUCAUCAGUUUGCUCAGUAUGGCUCCUAUGUCAUGGUAGUUUGAUGGGAAGUAAUGACAUAAAAAAUUGGGUUCGUGAAGCUAAGGACUCAACCAUUACCUUCUGGAAUAAUCAUGUAGAGCAAUCGAUUCCGUCCAUUAGAGAUGAAUUCUUUCAGGCAAUCAGGAGCAACACCUAUGAUGCCAUCAGCUGUUCUAACAAGCUCUGCAGCACCACUGAUCCUUAUAGUGCAGUCCCUCCACCCUGAGCUUAGAGGGAAGUGUUUUUGCAUGGCCACCUUGGGCAUGCAGCUCUUGACCAUGUGCCAUUUCCUUCUAUUCUCUCAUCCCCUGUUUUCUUGAAAAUAAUCUUCUUAAAUCCCAUUUUCAAUAAAAUUUGGUUGCCAUUUUCCUUCCGGCAAGCCACUUGUGCAUUUUCUUUGUUUUUAAAAUGUUUUAAAAAUAAGUAAGAAUUAAAUUCCGUAAUUCCAAGUGAUGGAAUUUAUGGAAUUGAUUCAUGCAAAAAUGAAUUGGGUCUUGGUGGGGGCCCUACAUAUGAGAUUCCAUGAUUGAUUGAUUUAUUUGUCAUGCAUGAUUGAUUUACUCUAUUCCUUGAUAUGCGCUUAAUUAUAUAUGUUCAUUGUUCACUAACCAUGUUUCAUGAUAGCGCAUUCGUGAUUGCCGCCCAGGUACGCAUCUAUUCAUAUUUUGCUCAUUCUUUAUACAUGCUUUGUCUCUCAUAUGUGCAUGAUUGAUUCGAGUAUUCAUUGAUUUUCUCAUUGAUUGUCAUGUCAGCUUCAUCUCAUUAGUAGAGACCCGACUUUAGGGACUUAGAGGGGUGCUACGGUCCAUACCGUACCUUCCCAAUAAGUAACCUGACCCCUGAACCCGAUCCGAUUUUUCACAGACCACCUUUUCCAAAAUAAGGAGUCACACUUAGGGUUUUUCUUUCUUAUUUUGUUUACCCUUUAAAAAUAAAACAAAAAUAAGUGGCGACUCCAAGUCAUUUUCAAAUAAUCAAUAAAAAUCAUUUUUCAAAUAAAAAUCGAGCUCGUCAUCGAGUGGGAAACGCAUUGAGCCGAAAUGCGGGGUCCACAAAGUGAUCUUGAAAAUUAUAAGUUAAUUAUGUUUACUUGAAUAAGAGAUUUGAAUAAUCUUGUAAAAAGAUGAUGUUUGUCGUUUAAGUGGAAGGUUGAUUUAGAAAUUAUCAUACAGGGAAAUGGAAAAAAAUACUAUUAUUUUGGUACAAGACCAUAUUAUUCAGUGGUGUCUCUAGAAAGUUCCAUUAGAUGCUAUUAAACAAUUAAUUUGGUGUCUCACUUGCAUAAUUUUGAGUUAUUGGAUUUUGGGUUUUGCAGACUCUAAUCUCCGGAGGUAACGACACAACUGUUGUCUCUCUGACAUGGGCACUCUCUCUUGUACUAAACAACCAUGACACCUUAAAAAAAGCUCAACAAGAAUUAGACAUCCAAGUUGGGAAGGAAAGAUUAGUGAAUGAACAAGAUAUAGGUAAGUUGGUCUAUCUCCAAGCCAUUGUUAAAGAGACAUUACGGUUAUAUCCAUCAGGACCACUUGGAGGACUACGCCAAUUUACCGAGGAUUGCACCUUAGGUGGAUACCAUGUCUCUAAAGGCACCCGUUUAAUAAUGAACCUUUCGAAGAUCCAAAAGGAUCCAAGAAUUUGGUCAAAUCCAACAGAAUUCCAACCAGAGAGGUUUCUCACCACCCAUAAAGAUGUUGAUCCUUGGGGAAAACAUUUUGAAUUUAUACCAUUUGGAGCUAGUCGAAGAGUAUGUCCAGGAAUAACUUUUGGUCUUCAAAUAUUACAUUUAACAUUAGCUAGUUUCUUACAUGCGUUUGAAUUUUCAACUCCAUCAAAUGAAUAGGUCGAUAUGCGCGAGAGCCUUGGACUUACAAACAUGAAAUCUACCCCACUUGAAGUUCUCAUUUCUCCACGCUUAUCUUCUUGUAGUCUUUACAAUUAAAACAUUGAAACGAAUAGGUCAAGUCGGUCUUGCUAGUCUUGGUUUAAAGACAUAUGGAGUUAGGUUCAAUCAAUCUAUGACAAGAUUUGGGAUUGUAUUAAAAGUAGGUUGGACUAAGAAUGAUGUAUAAUAAACUAAAGUACUAUUUAUGUCAAUAAAGUAUAGCUUUAUAUAUUAUUUGGUUAUCCUUGCUCUCCGUCUAGGCUCUCAUGGGUGCAAGGCCUACCCAUGAGGCCCUUUUCUCCAAAUUUGAGUCAAGUGGCUAAGGGGCUUACAACUAGCUUCUUUGCCAUAGACAAAUUUUCUUUUGUUUAUAUGUUUUAAUUGAUGCAUAUUCACUUUCUUCUUUUCUUAAUUAAAUUGCAAUAAUUAAACAUACAAUUUAAAUAAAUUUUAAAUUUUAUUUUUAACUAAAAACAAAAGUAUACAGAUACAAAUAUAUACUGCUUAAGUAAUUAAUUUUUAAAAAUUAUCCUUUGAGAACAUCUCAGACAAACUGAGACAUGCUUCCAGAGAAAUCUAAAUGUAAUGUUUUUAAAAGCUACUUUGUAAUUUUAUUUUCGAGCAUGUUGCAUAAUAUAUACUUUCCUUGAAUUGAUUUUCCAAACUAUAUUUUUAUUAGCAAUAAGGGUUAUCUACGUUUUGGAAAUUAUAAGUUAAUUAUGUUCACUUGAAUAAGAGAUUUGAACAAUCUUGUAAAAAGAUGAUAUAUAUAUAUAUAUAUAUAUAUAUAUAUAUAUAUAUAUAUAUAUAUAUAUAUAUAUAUAUAUAUAUAUAUAUAUAUAUAUAUCGUAUGGCUGAUUUGGAAAUUAUCCAAAAUGGAAAAAAAUACUAUUAUUUUGGUACAAGACCAUAUUGUUCAAUAGUGUCUCUAGAGAGUUCCAUUAGAUGCUAUCAAACAAAUAAUUUGGUGUCUCACUUGCAUAAUUUUGAAUUGUUCGAUUUUGGGUUUUGCAGGCUCUAAUUGUCGGAGGUAACAAUACAACUGUUGUCUCUUUAACAUGGGCACUCUCUCUUUUACUAAACGUACAACCACGACAUCUUAAAAAAGGCUCAAGAAGAAUUAGAUAUCCAAGUUAGCAGGGAAAGAUUAAUGAAUGAACAAGAUAUAAGUAAGUUGGUCUAUUUUCAAGCCAUUGUUAAAGAGACAUUACGGUUAUAUCCACCAAGACUACUUGGUGGACUAUGCCAAUUUACUAAGGAUUGCACCUUGGGUGGAUACCAUGUCUCUAAAGGCACCCGUUUAAUAAUGAACCUUUCAAAGAUCUAAAAGGAUCCAAGAAUUUGGUCAGAUCCAAUAGAAUUCCAACCAGAGAGGUUUCUCAUCACCCAUAAGAAUGUUGAUGAUUGGGGAAAACAUUUUGAAUUUAUUUCAUUUGGAGCUGGUCGAAGAGCAUGUUUAGGAAUUGCUUUUGGUCUUCAAAUAUUAUAUUUAACAUUAGCUAGUUUCUUACAUGCAUUUGACUUUUCAACUCCAUCAAAUGAACAUGUUGACAUGCAAGAGGCCUUAGACUUACAAAUAUGAAAUCUACCUCACUUGAAGUUCUCAUUUCUCCGGACUUAUUUUCUUGUAGUCUUUACAACUAAAACAUUGAAAUGAAGAGGUCAAAGUCGACCUAGCUAGUCUUGGUUUAAAGACAUAUAGAGUUAGAUUCAAUCAAUCUAUGAUAAGAUUUGGGACUGUAUUAAACAUAGGUUGGACUAAAAAUGAUGUACAAUAAACUAAUUAAAGUAUUGUCCAUGCCAAUAAAGUAUAACAUUAUAUAUUAUUUGGUUAGCCUUAAGGAAUGUAGCAUCAUAAUUAUUUCUUUGUUUUGUCUAAUUUAUCACCAUUUUUUCCCCUUCUCUUCUUCCCUUCUCUUCAUUAGAACAAAUAAUAUAUAGUCUUUUUAUUUUUAAAAAUCAAAUUCGAUUCCCAGUUAUAUAAGAAUUUUACUUUUACUUUAUAAUAAACUUUACUUUAAUCUUAAUAACUUUGACCAUGAUCUCCAUCAUUGAUUAAAUAUAGGGAUAAUUUCAAUCAUUUUUUCUAAGAUUGGAGUUAAAUUUACCCAUCCAUUAUUAAUUUGAAAUUUUAUUAAAUAUUUUUUUUUUCCUUUUUUUUUACAUGUAUAUCUUUUAAUUUAAAAUAAUAGUUGUCCGAUAUAUUUAUAUGAAAUUAUUUUCGAAGAGGUGAAUGAAACUAAACUUUUUUUUAAAUAUAAAAUCAUAAAAAUUUAAUAUACGCCAGCACGAUCCGGUCUAAAUAUUAUAUAUAAUUUGUGUCAUUUCAAAAAAUCAUAGAAGAUCCUUUUGGCAAGGUGGCCCCUUUGAGUAGGAAUUCUCUAAUUGGUCACUACAUAUUACAUAAUUUCAAAGAUUAUGGAGGAUCAUUUACCAAUCAUUAUCAGAAGAAGUGCUGAUUCCUGUAUAAAACUAACCAAUACGAUAUUUAGCACAUGCAAACAGAUUUGGAAGGAUCUGAAAGUCAAGCCUACGGGCCAUCCCUUUACGGCUUGUUCGAAAAAGCACAAAUUGAUGGGGUGCCACUUGCCAGCAGUCUGUUUCAAUAUCUAAAUGUUACCCAGUGGGAUUGCUUGAUAUACUUUUUGUCUCCUAGCUACCAUCUAUUAUUAUGGAGCUCCAGAGCUGGUAAGAUAAGAAUACACCCAAAAGCUGCUGGUGCAUGGCCAAUAAUCGGUCACCUCCUCUUAGGGUCACAACUUCCUGGGAUUUUUUUUUAUAAAAUUACGGUAAAUUUAAAAUUAAUUUUUUAAAAUGCGGCAUAUUGAAAAUAUGCUUGAAUAAUAAUAAUAAAAUGACAAAUAAUAAAAAGGAAAGAAAGUUGUCUUGUGGCUAUAAGAAAGAAUAAUAUAAAAGAGAGAGAUGAGGAGAGGCGGAUAGAGAGAAGAGUAGGCCGAAAAAAAAAAAAAAAAAGAGGAGAACGGGGAGGUGCUGCAAAUCUUUGGGCGUUCGAUCGUAUGACGAGCAAAACGACUUAUGUUUUGCAUGAAAGUUAAGGAGAAAAUUUUCUUUGAGGCGAGGAACAUUCCUUCAAAGUUCGAUUUUAGUUUCAAUGAUUGGAUUUUUUUAUUUGUGGUAAGAUAGUUUAAUCCUACAACUUUUGUUUAAUAUUUUGUUCUUGAAAAAAUAUUAUGAAUUUUUUUAGUGGAAGAUAAAUAUGUGUUAUUUGUGUUUUCUUUAUGUUAUUUGAAGUAUGAUUAUUCUUAAGGUUAUUAUUAUUAUUAUUGUUUUAUGAUUUACAUAUUAUUAUGAUUUUAUUUUUAAAAUUUUUAUGUUUGCAAUGAUUUAAUUGAAGAAAAACUGUUGUGUUGAUUGUUGAAAAUUAUUUAGUAUGUUGGGAAUAAAUAAAAUUUAUAUGAUUAGGGUUGAGACUAUGUUUUGAUGAUAUGUAAAUUAUUGUGAAUAUAUAUAUAUUUUAUAUUUGUAGUGAUUUAAUUGAAGAAAAAUUGUUGUGUUGUAAUUGGAAUUAUUGAUCAUGUUUGGAGUAAAUAAAAAUUAUGUCCUAGAAAAUUAUGCAUAAUAACAUGCAAGUUUAUUAUAUUUCAUAUGCAUCAUGGUUAUGUGAAAAAAAAAAUUGAUGAAAGAUUUUAUAAAAUGAAAAAGGAAAAAGAAAAUAAUGAUGAAAAGUAAAAACCUGUGAAAGAUAAAUCAAGAAGGAAAUGAGAUUUCUAGUGUAAAAAAUACAAAAAUUUAUCCCGUGAGUGUAUUUGAUAUAGAUGCAUAUCAUUAAGUGAAAACCCAAAAACAAUAGUUGAAUGUAAGCAUUUGCACCAUGUUUUCAUUUGGAAGAAGGACAUGUAUUAAAUACUUGAAUGACAUCAAUGGUAUGUUUAAAUAUAUUAUUAGAGAUUGAAAUAAUUUAUUUAUUUUGUAAGUUUAGAAUUAUUGGAUAAACCGCUAUUGACGAUUGGACCGAUGAAUGGGGCGGUUUUUCAUGAACUGCAUGGCUAAAUUCCAGCUCCAGUCUUCCUCCCAUUUUUCCUUUCAUCCAAAUAGUCCAACCUCCCCCUCCUCUUUUUCAUAGGGUCCAAGUGAAAGCCCAAUAAGCCCAGCCUUACAUUUUAAUGGCUUUUUGGCAAAACCUAAACCCAUUUAAACCCAUGGGUGGUACCUUUUUGGCAUGUACUAAUUUGAGUUAUAUGAAUUUUUGUAAUUUAAAUUAUAAUUUGUUAUUUUGUAAAAUAUUUUUUACUUAGAUUUAUGUAGAUAUUUGGGUUAAUUUGGGAUUAUAUAUUGAUCUAUUCAACUGAAAUCAUUGACCGUCAAAUUGGAUAGGAAUAACAUUUAAGGUCAACCCUUUGACCUGAUAUCACUAAUCGGAUUCUGAGUUGCCUUGAAUAGGGUGUGACUAUAAUGGAUUUUCUUCUCCAAUGCCUAAACCCUGUCAUGGUUGGAGCGUUUGCAAUACUCGUCCUCUCAUACCACCUGUUAUUAUGGAGGACUGGAGCUGGUAAGAGCAGAAUGGCACCUGAAGCUUCUGGUGCAUGGCCCAUAAUAGGUCACCUGCACCUGUUAGGUGGAUCUAAGAAUUUGCCUCACUUACUUUUUGGAACCAUGGCCGACAAGUAUGGACCAGUAUUCAGCAUCCGGCUGGGAUUAAAAAGAGCUGUGGUGGUGAAUAGUUGGGAGAUGGCCAAGGAAUGCUUCACCACCCAUGACCUGGCUCUGGCCUCCCGUCCUGAGGUUGAGGCCGCCAAAUAUUUGGGAUAUAACUAUGCCAUGUUUGCUUUCUCUCCUCACGGUGCAUACUGGCGUGAAGUGCGUAAGAUAGCUACUCUAGAGCUACUCUCGAAUCGCCGGCUAGAAUUGCUGAAGAAUGUCCGAAUCUCAGAGGUGGAGACAUGCAUGAAGGAACUAUACAAGCUUUGGGCAGAGAAGAAAAACGAAGCGGGCGUUGUUUUGGUGGACAUGAAGGAAUGGUUUGGGCACUUGACUCUGAACGUGAUUCUUAUGAUGGUUGCUGGAAAACGAUAUUUCGGUUAUACAGGCGAAAGUAAAGAGAAAGAGGCCCAGCAGUGCCGGAAAGCGAUUAGGGAAUUCUUUCGUUUGUGGGGACUCUUUGUGGUGUCAGAUGCCAUUCCUUUUUUUGGAUGGCUUGACGUGGGUGGACAUCUGAAAGCCAUGAAGAAGACUGCAAAAGAACUGGACGGUAUUGCUCAGGAAUGGUUAGAGGAACACCGGCAGCGAAAAGAUUCUGGUGAAGCUGAUGGUAACCAGGACUUCAUGGACGUGACGCUGUCCAUUCUGGGUGGUAGAGACAUUACUGAUUAUGAUGCUGAUACCAUCAACAAAGCUACAGCCCUGGUAUGCACAUUAUUCCUUUAGCAUCUUUAUAUGGUAGUAAAAAAUGAGACAUAAUUUCAUGCUUUAUCAUCUUUAGUCCAGACUCAAGAGUACUUGGGCCUGGGUUGGAAGAACUUAUUUUUGCUUUGUUUCAAGUCGAAACUAAUCAAAAGCAGCGAUUUUUAAAAGGUAAUUAUAAUAAUGGUAUUAUAAAAGUUCAAACAUAAAAUAACUUUUUGCAUAAAUCAAAAUAGAAUUUUUAUAUAUACAUAUAAAAUGUUUUUCUGAUCUUCAUAUUAAUUUUUUUAAGUCAUAACUUUUUUGAACAAAAUUAGUCAAACCAUAGAACUCUUGAACUUACAAAAAAGGGCUUUCGAUUUCUUAGAAGUAGAUACAUGUAGAUUAUGAAAGUAUGUUCCUUAGUCCGCAUGGUUUGAGGCCUCUUUGAGUGGGCUUCUAGAGUCGGUUAGACAAUUGGGCCUUUCAAAGGAUUUCCUAAAUUUACAUUUUUUUUAGCCCAACUUGAAUUUUUAUAAAAUGCUAUAUUUAUACGCGAGUUUCAUAUUCAAGCUAAACAUACCCAUUUUGAUUGGAAAAAAAAGGAAAGAAAAUGGGGCCUUUUUUCCACCCUUAAUCCUAUCACUACUUUUAAUUUUAUUUUAUUAGUUAAUGGUUUGUAUUUCACAGAUUCUGAUUGGAGGAGGCACUGACACUACAUCUGCUACUUUAACAUGGGUCAUCUCACUUUUAUUAAACAAUCCAGAUGUAUUAAGAAAAGCCCAAGAAGAAUUGGAUGCUCAUGUUGGUAAAGAAAGACUAGUAAAUGAAAUGGAUAUAAGCAAGUUGGUCUACCUUCAAGCAAUUGUUAAAGAGACAUUGAGGAUAAAUCCAACAGCUCCACUUUCAGGACCGCGUCAAUUCAUCCAAGAUUCUAUUUUAGGGGGUUACCAUAUCUCAAAAGGCACUCGUCUUAUAUUGAACCUUACCAAGAUCCAAAGAGACCCAAGAGUAUGGUUGAAUCCAAUGGAGUUCCAACCAGAUAGAUUCCUCACCACCCAUAAAGAUGUUGAUGUUAGAGGUAAACAAUUUGAGUUGACACCAUUUGGAGGUGGAAGAAGAAUUUGCCCUGG